GUAAUGAAGUUGUUUAUUUGAAUAUCGCAAACUUCAUAUAAAAAAAGGCCCGUUGCUUCGGCGCAUCCCAAAUGAUCCUCUUCUUUUUCUUUUUCUUUUUUUUUGAGAGAGAUAAGUAGCAUGUCACCUACUUCGUUUAUUUCAUUUAGAAAUAAACUUAACUGAAAAUGUGAAUCAACUAAGAUUCGAACUUGGAACCUCGAGUACCAACCACAAAGCCCUUUGUCACUUGCGCUAAGGACGGUCAGUCCAAAUGAUCCUCUUAAACACUACAGAUAAAAUACAAUUCGUUUUCAUAUUUCAGCAGAUUAGUGGCCAAAUAUAUAUUUUAGAGUUAUGAUAUGAUUCAAAUGUGAUGAAAAAGCAUGCGCAGAAUAAUUAAAGAGAUAAUUGAUUCUUCCUAGGAAUCAAGAGCAUUAUUUGUGGCAAAAACAGUUGAUCCAAUGGAGCAAUAUGACUUGGCAGAUGUCUCUGUGUUUUUUGGCACAUGAAAGCAAAGGAGAGGAGGGCCUGCACUGAAUCGACAAUAAUUGAGGGAUUUUUACACUUGGGUGCAUAGUGUUGUUUUUCACUUUUACUGGUACAAGUAGCAUAAAUUUAUCUUGGUAAAAUUGUACUUUGACGGGUAGUAACUACAUACUAUUUUAGCUGUUGAUUAAUUAGGUCUAAAUUAUUUUGAUUAAUUUUAAAUUUUUGUGAUUUAAUAGUGGUUCUACUAAAUUUAAGGGCUCGAGCUAGCCUCUUUCGCUGAAUGGAACUGCAUUUUAAUUAGUGGCUUAAAAAAAAGAAAAAGAAAAAGACUUGUUGUUGACGGGUUGGUUAUACAAUUUUACUUUUUAUUUUUACAGCAGAUUUUUUUUUCCCCUUUUGCUAAAAAUGUCUGCAUGCUAUAUAUAUACUUAUCUGUCCUCUUUUAUAAAAGACAACUUUCAAACUCCAAACCUAUCACGCAAGAAGAAAAUUAAUAAUUAUUUAUUCUAAACAGUAGUGGUUAUUAAAUAAUUUAAACACCAACAAAUACCGUAUAAAUUAGUUGUUUGAUAUUUUUUUUUCAGCACCAAAAUUUGAAUUUAACUUUUGUAUCAAUCAUAUAAGGCAUGUUUGUUUCAACGUAAGUAGACUUGCGAUGGAAGUGAACUUUGGGUUGAAGUGGAGUUCGGGUAAUAAAUUAAUUCACUUCUGCUAUUUGUUUCUAACUGUGGAAGUGCAAUUCAGCGAGUUCUGUUGUUUGUUUGGUUGGAAGUAGAUGACGUAAAAAGUAUAGCUCUUCACUCCCGGUAUACUUACCUCCGAAGUGAUAUCAUUGUUUAUUUUGUAACUUAGUGAAUAAUAAAUUAUAAUAAAUAAAAAUUAAUAUAAUUAUAUAUGCAUAUAAUAUUAUAUAUGUAUGAUUAUAAAAUAAAAUUUUACAAAAUCUGAUUAUUUGUUUGCAUAUAAAUUAUAAUAAUACAACAAAUAAAAUUAUAAAGUUAAAAAAUUAUUAACAUUUAACAAAUUCAUUUUUCAUCAUUUUCAAAAUAUACAAAUUAAACAAAAAAUAUAUUAAAACUUACCUUACCAAAUUUGAUCAUAUUUUAAGCAUACAAUCAAAAUAAAAAAUUUAAUUACUUCUACAAUUGAAUAUAUUUGGAGUUAGGUCUAGAACUCGGGAGAGGAAAGAGUAGAGAAGAGGGUAACCUUAACCCUAACACAUUAAUUCCCACUCUUGUCUCUUUUUACCUCACCGAAAUUGACUUCGUCCCAUGGGAGGGGGAAGUCAAUUUUAUUAUUUUGGGUGAACUAGACUUUCGGGCGUAAUAAAAUUAUGAUGAACCAAACAACGGAAGUGGUCUAUUUUCACCGAAAAUUACUUCUCCUUUCCACUUCCACCCCACUUUCGUACAAAUAAACAGGCCCAUAGUGUGUCUAUAUACCAACCAAAAAUAUUUGGUUGGUACACAUCCUAUAUUUACUCAUCCAAACAAUUUUGUAAACUCUAAAAUAUAUAUGGUAUAAAAUUUAUGUUUAUAUAUAUAUAUAAAAAAAAUAAUUAUACUGAUAUACAUAUAAUAUAUUUUUUUUGAAGAAUGAAGUACCAUCAAACUUGGCUUUGUAGUUUGUAGUAGUGGUAAUAAAUGAAGGAAUAAAUAAAUAAAUGGUGCAACGUGUCAUCGCAUCCACCCCGUGAUACGUAACGAAACAUCAUCUGUACCAUCGCGGAGAGAUUUUCUACACUGUACAGCAGUAUGUCUAGUCCUUGACCGGAUCCAAACCCGAGCGAUGAGGGGGUUUUGUACGAAACCAAAAGUUGACGUAAAUACUAAAUAGGCGCCUCGGACCCAUGCAUCAACACUCAUUUCUCUAGAGGGGGGAAAAAAAGAAAAUUAAAUAGUACCAUCCCAUGGAUGCUGUACGUGUUUAAAAAUACUUCUUUUUUUUUUUUUUAUAGAGUUAAUUUUAUACACCUCCUUGUAAAUAUAUCAACAUCAAAUAACAAAUAUAUUUUUAUAAAAUUUAAUUUUUAUAUUUAUUCGUGCAAAAGUCCAGUAGUAUUUAUAUUUGCCCUCUGGUUUGUUACCGUUAAUUGUAGCACUGUUUAAUAGAAAAUAAGUAAAAUGACAAUUUCGCUAUAGCAAAUAUAUCUCCCUAAAAGCCUCAACUGUUAGAAUUAUGCAUAAAUAUUCUUUCAAAAAUUUUCAACGGUCGUACUUCUUUCUAUCAUCACAAAUAAUAUAAAAGGGAUAAAAAGAUCAAUUUACCUGAUUCACUAACCAGGGUUAAGUAUUUUAUAUAUGGUUUAUUAUAUUUUUCUAACAAAUCCUAACAGUCGGAAUAUAUUCGAAAAUGUUAGAAUUUUUGUAGGAAUAAUUAUAAAAAGUUAAGCUUUGUAGAAAUAUAUAUGUUAUUCGAUAUGUUUACAGGAAGCUCUACGGAAUCAACCAUUUUUUAUACUAUACAAAAUUCAAAAUUCUAAAAGUGUUUUACUAUUUUCUUAUUUUUAUUAUAAAAUUGCAGUUUGUAAUCGUAUGUAGCCACGUGCUUUACCGAUAGCGGUUGCAACUGUAACUUUAAUAUAUUAGAAAAAAAAAUUAUCAGUAGUUUUUAAUAUUUUAAAUUUUUUAUAGUAUGAACACUGUGAAUUAAGUCACGUCAUUAUCAAACUAGGACCACAUCAACGGUGGAAUCGAUCUUCUCAAAUCGAUCGUUGCUUGAUUUGAAUCCUCACAGUGAUUUUGAAACUAAGUUCGCACUUAUAAAUGCUGUAGAUCAUAGGUGGUGUGACCGUGUGCGUCAACUUGGAGGUGCGACAAACGCUACAUUUAUUAGGUGGUCCGCGGCCAACGUGACAGGCCAAAAUGUUUUAAUAAUCGUAGGCCCAGAAGCUACAGUAAUAAAUAGAAAUUGUAAAAUGCUACUUUAUACUUACAUGUGGAUAUAAAUUUUACAUCAUUUUUAUUCCAGAGUUUGUAAAAUUGUAAAAAACUUCAUAGUAUUAAAUAUUUUUAAUUAGAUACCUGAAAAAAUAAUGGAGUUAGGAUGAGCAGGGUGCAGAAAUUAUUAUUAAUGCACCUAUUACAGCCUCAAAGUAUUUUUUUUUUUUACUUUUUAGCAAACAAUUAAUUUUUGAAACUGUUCGAAACUUAUGAGGUUUAAUUACACAAUGAAUGUCUAAGAAAUACAUUCUUAAAAUGCUAAUGUUUAGUUUAAAAAACCUUUAGAUGAUGCAGAUAAUGUAUUUACCAGAUAUUUUUUAAAAUUUAUUUUUUUGAGCUCGCCGUUAUUUCAAAAUUUUAAAUAUUGAGUAUCAAGAGUAUGAAUACACAUGUUUGUACGCAAAGUGCUCUGUGGCACUGUGCACUCUACGGUUAUGUUUGGCCACUGGAGUAUUUGAUUGUACCCAACACUUUUCACGCGCUAACGUACUCUUUCUUUUUGGAUUAAAUACGCGCUAAUGUACUUAGAAAUGUCUUUGUACAAGAGAUGGUCCCCUCAGGCCCAACACUAAACCUCUAAAUCCUAUUAUUAAUCCUUCGCAGAUGCGCAUCAAACCGAAGCAUAAAACCCAAUUCCAUUGAUUUUCCUAGCAAAAAUUAGGGCUUUUGUGGCAUCCUUUGCGUGCGGGGUUGCACACCACGUGUUCGACGAAAUUCCUCAGUGAAAAAGUUGGUUUUUUGCUCUGGAUUUUGGUCUCCAUGGCCUUGUUUUCGUCUUCGUCGCUUGGUGGGUCACUUGGGUUUAUUUCGGUCGAGUAUAAGAGACUAACAAUUCCGCUCUUUAAUAGGAUUUGUGUACUCUCGCCCCACCAACGUAGUAAGUUUUAUUAACACUCAAACCUUAUGCUAAUGUUUCAGUUUUAUUUAUACUAAUAGAUUGUAUUAUCUUUUGUUUUUGGAGAGGCUUCUUGGUUGUUUACGAAAAUUGAGGCAAAAAAUAAUACUCAAACAGAGAGUGCAAAGGUCAGAGACCGUAGGAUGCGAAGGAAGGUAUAGUUGGGUGUCCUUUUCUUUUUUUGAUAAUGUAACUAGGCUGAAAAUUUUAAUGUUGAUGCAUAGUUUAUAGAAAGAUAUUUCUAUUGCAGCUGUUUCAAUUCUAUGUACAAAAGCUACAAAUUAAGUUGUUCUUUGUGUAUUAUUAAAUGGCGCGAUCAAAGUUACUGUUCCAUUGAUGUGGCUAGAUUGAAGUUAUUGUUGUGAAUCGUUACGCGUCUUUUUUUAUUCUAUUUGGUAGUUAAAUGGGUGGAAUUGUUGCUCUGAAGGGGUUUGGUCGCCUACGUUUAGAAAUAUGUUAAUGUGAUAGAAAAUGCAAUGCAAAUACUUUUUGGAGCAUGUUCACAUUCACUUUACGUGCCCCCCCACUGUUGUAUCAUGUAAUCAGUAUAGUAGAGAGUGGCAUCUCGGGUGGUAUGUUGACCCUGCAAUUUGAUGAAAAGCAAACUCUUUCGUAGUUUGUGUUGCAGUAAAUUACUGUUAUGUCCAUGUAAUGUGCAAUAAUAGAGCUCAAAUUUAUUAUCUCAAGGUGUAUGUGUUAUUGAUCACUUGCCAAGCUGAUGUUUAUAUUUUAUGUUGGUUGUUGAAAUACUGAGAAUCUUGUUUUUGUCCCCCCUUUUUUUCCCUUCUAAAUUUUAUAUGCAUCUUAAUCUCUUCGACUUCUAGGUAUGUACAUGCCCAUUGAUCUUGUUCAUGUUUUCCUGUUUGGAAGUUUAACGGCACGCCUACAAAGCCAAGGCUCUCUGUCUUCUGUUCGAACAAGCAACUUUACGCCAUGCUUGUUGAUGAUCAAAAUAAGAAGACUCUCUUCUAUGCCAGCACCUCGCAGAAAUCCAUUUGUGGCGAACCCCCUUGUAGUAAAAUGGUUAGUACAUCUGCUUUAAUUUGUAGAAUUAUUUCCCGUUCAUUAAAAUGUUCAAUUUGCAUUAUUCAUCUUUCUUUUCUUCUUCACUCGUGUCUUCUCAAAUCUAUGAUGGUCUGUUCUAAGUUCCAAUUUCCAACCAUUGUGAUUCUAAUUAGCUGUUAGAUAUCUUGGUGUGGUUAAUAGUAGACCUUUUCUGGAUAAUAGACUUUUAAAAUUAUGGCAUCUUUUCUUUUUCUUUUUCUUUUUCUUUUGUUGGAAAAGAAAUAAAUUGACCUUUUAUACUGGCUGUCAUUUAUCUAUUCUGAAUUACGAGCACAGGAAGCUGCUCAAAGGGUAGGUGAGGAGCUAAUCAAGGCAUGCAAGGACUUGAACAUUUUUGAGAUAUCAUCUUAUGACCGUAAUGGAUUUGCUCGGGGGGAGAGAAUGAUCGCAUUCGAGAUUCCAAUCUCACAAUAUGGUUUCUUGUCCCGUUAGCUGUGUAUUGUAUGCGGUAUCUCUCUCUCUCUCUCUCUCAGCCCCUCAUAUCUACAUAAGCUAGUCGUUAAUCAAUAUAGUGUUGUAGUCCGAGAUAGGCUAUUCAAUAACAGCUUUUGUCUUCAGCCUUGUAUCAGUCGAUCUCUUUGACAACCUUAUUCUUUGUUUACAUCGUAAUCUAGUUUCUUAGUAUGUUUUUCCAUUGAGUACUCCCUUUUUUUUUUUGAUGAUUUGUCAAAGAUUUAUCAUGUGGUACCAUUUGGAAAAUGUGAAUGGUACAUGUGAGAGAUCAAAUCAGUCAUUGUUCACUGGCAGUAUCAUCAACAGGAAUAAACUUAAUUGAGUCUUCAGAAUCAGAAAUAUACUUGAGUCCAGCUAUUUGUGUUCUCAGUUCUGAGUUACUAAAGACACUUGGACUCUGAAUCUCUCAAGAAUGAAGAAAUAAGUAUAUCUGAGGUUUUUUGAGGUAAAAUUUCAUCAGGUUACCAGGACUUGCAUUGUACCUUGGGAAAUUCGAUCAAAUUUGUUAGAGUUAGAUAAUAGGACAGAUACACAACAUCUCCAAAGAACGAUUCAAUCAAUCCAAAGGUGCAGAAAAAGAUCACUUUAUUGAUACCCGGAUAGGCCUAACCAAAGUAACAUUAACUGCUAGUUAAGCACCAAGGUACUUAAAUUGCAAUCAUCAAAGAAAACAAACAGCUGUGCUUGCUAAUCUAUCUAUUAUUACAUCAUUCAAAAGAACUUUGACCCUCUUCUGUGAUACUUGGGAAGACUGGGAACUCGACCUUAUCACGGCACUUGCUUCUUGGAAACACGGGGCAUUCAAUGAUCUGCUUUCCUGAAUUAUCAACACAUAGGAAAAUCUGAUACAGUUGGUUGGUACCCGAUUCAUCCCUAUUGCAUUCUAUGCCUGGUGCAAAUCCUAGACCUUCCUUUAUUGCUUCCUUGAUUUCAUCCAGCCUGUAAAAGCCACCUGGUCUGAUUCCUACAAAGAUAUCCAGAACCUUAAUUUAUUGAACAUUUGCAGAUGGAAUUUGGCAUAAUUGUUUCUUUUUUUUCUUUUUUGUAUAUAUCCUGUACAAUUACAUGAAAUCAUGCAUACAUUCAUGAAAAGUCAGUAUUGGUGCACUGGCCCCUGAAAACUCUGCUUCUUACCUCACCUGCUCAUGGUGGGAUAUUGUAUAAACACAGUUUUCACAUUUAUACCCCUCAAAGAAAUAUGCUUUCAGGGUUAUGCACAUGAAUGCAAGCUCUGUGCAUACUUCCGCAAAUUUGCAGGGCUGGGGUGGUAAUAUAUGCGAAAAAGCUGUUGGCGUCUAGACAUAAAAGAGAUGAGCCAGGAGGCCUUAUUACCAGAUUCUCUCAGAAUCUCAAGGAGAUUAGUCUCUUUUUGAAGCCUGAGAGCAGUCUCAAAGUAGGAAUGCUGAUCGAGAACCGAUUCAGAGCAAGUUCCAUGCUUGUUCCAUUCAUGUCCCCAGAAUUUUAAGCCAUCGUUGCUUGGGCAUGCUAGGGUGGGCCAGUGCUUUUGCAUUUGACCGAUUAACUCCUUAAUCUGCACUCAAGUGAAGCCAAAAUAUUAUCUUUUACUUGUUGAACGAACCAUCAAAUGUUUCUUAGGGUAGUAAAUGAUAGAUGCGGGAAGGGGUACGGAGAGACUUACUUCCGAUGACUUGAAAGGAUUAUGGCUAUCACAGUUCAAUGGGUACGAUCCAUCAUUAUUGUUGGGCCACAGGCCAUGGAUUCCGAAAUCAGCGAGUGGCUUUCCGCUGGUUGGAUAGCAGCAACUUUGCUUAGUAUCACAAUAUGAACCUGGCCACUGCAUGAAAGUAGAAAAUGUAGCACUUAACACAGAUUUGUACAAAUAAUGGGAGGCUAUGAUCCUCCAUGAUUGAGGUAUAAUAUGCCAACUGAUUAUUGCAAAAGGAUCUGGUAUUCAAACAAUGAGAUACUGGAAUCACAAUUGCGAUUAUCUAAUUCUGAGUGGUCGUGAUAAGUUUCGCAGGAUUGAACUGUACAAACAACUACUGUAUCCUUCGAAUGAUUGAAUGAUAGCUUGUUUUCUUUUAUCUUCUCUUUAACUAAUGGCUAUGCUACUUUGAUUUUGCAGGUCUGAAAAAGAAAAAAAGAAGAUACAAAAGAAAAGGAAAUAGUGAGUUUAGAAGCCUACCUGUUGAACGAAGUAGAAGAAAUCAAAAUCUUGAGCACUGGAUAGAACUGCAAAAACAGGAAGAGCUAACAGAACAAGCGGAAUUGAGGAUUGAAUCAUCAUGAUUAUGUAUCGAAGGAAAGAUGUAGGAAUGCCCUCAAAUUGAUGGAUGGUUGUUUAUAAGCUAAAGUUAGCAACGUAUAUGGUUGGCAUAUUCCAUGCUUACAGAUUAGAAAACGAUAAGAAGAACAAGUAAGAGAAGCGUGCUCAUUGGUUGUAUGUAAGAACUCUAUAUUAGUGCUGUCAUAAUUUACAAGCUAAGAUUUUUAUCCGAUUGUCGUAUUAGAAGCUGAACAAGUAAAUGAAUUAAUGAAUCAUAGUUAAAUGGUUGGAAUACAUCACUGAUGAGAGCACAUGUAUUCACAUUUCCGAUCUCUCGUUUUAUAUAUUUUAUGUAGUUGGUCUUAUUUAUCACUAGUUGUGUUGUAGCAGAUAAGGUUUCAGAGAUACCAACAGCUUAUCUAGCAUGACUCUUACAAUUUCAGGAUAAUGACCAUAUCUAUUGCUUUAUUACAAUUUGAGUGCAUUAUUGAGAAUAAAAAAUGAAUGUAGAAAAGUUGAAGACACUAAUAAUCUCUUGUGGAAUUUCUGUAUAUUUUUGCAUGAAAAUUUUUGUGUCUUUGGAUGUAAUGUAAAGCUGCCUUGGUUGUUAGCUAUUUCACAAGACAAGAAACAAGCCUUUUAGAUUAGAUUUUACUCCAAGUGUUGAGCUGUUCUUGACCUUUGGGCAACGUAAGGUCUCGUAGGUGGUUACCUUGUCAAUGUCAAUGUUCAUGUUCUUUUUAAAUUGUGUCUCACUCUUUCCCUUUUUCUUUUAAGUUUUCAAUUCUUAAUCCAUAUUAUUAAAUGUCACUUUAUUACUGCUACAUAAAAGAUCAUCCAUGAACUUUCGGGGGUUGUUCCAUUAACUUUUUUUUUAUUAUAAAAUAUAGAUAACAAAAAUGAUAUAAUUGAUGGAAGGAAAAUCCCAAUAUCGCAUCUAGUAAGCUAGCUCUUGUUUCAUAGAGGCUAAAUUGCUUGUUUGAUCGUCAAACUAUGGAGUGCAUGCGUCACUUUGGUUUUUUUUUUUUAAAUUUGUUAUGAUUUUUUGUUUGAAACUUAUAAAUUGUUGUAAUUCAAUUUCACAAUAUAAUUUAAUUGACUAAAUAUUGAUAUAUUACUGAUAUAAAAAUAAUAUAAUAUUUUAAUUAUUAUCACAUCAUCAAUUAUAACACUGCUAUAUUAUUUUUAGAUUAAUAACACAUUCAUAUUUAGUCAAUUAAAUUGGAUUGUAAAAUCUAAUUGCAACAACUUAAAAAAAUAAAUGAAAAAUUUUAAAAAAAUUAAAGUUUGAGAAUCAAAGUGUCACUGAAUAUGCAAUUUAGCCUUUCAUAAAGCAUUGGAAAGUUAUAGCAAAAGAAAAAAAAGGUUAAUAAUAAAUUUUGAAUUUUUGCUUAAAUAAUACUUCUAUCAAGAAAAAUAAAAAAGGGAGGAAUCUAAGUUUUAAAAUUGUAAGAUCAAUAUUUUAUUGAGUGGGUGGCAUACAAAGGAAAUAAAAUACCAAGACUUUUUAUUUUAUAAAGCACCAACUAAGCCCUCCGAAACAUAAACGUGAUAAUAAUAUUUUUUUUUGAGAAAAGUGAUAAUAAUAAUUAAUUUUAAAGCACCGAUUGUACGUGUGAGCGCCACACAGGAUAUCAUUAAUGACCAUGCGCAAAUUUUGGCUAAAUAAGUGCGGUGCAUGUUUUUUUUUGGGCGAAUCAUUUCGACACCACGAGCUCUCGCGAAGUCAAUGGGACAUAAUAAUAUCUUAUUCCUAGUUAAUUUCCUUACGUUUCGCGGGAUUAUCAUAUCCUCAGCGCAAUUUUAUUUGGCUUCGAAAAUAACUUCCAAUCUAGAAGUAAGAUUUUAAUAAUGAAAUUCACAAGAUCUCUCUUUAUUCAAAUAUAUAAGACUUAAUAAAGUCUAGUUUGGUAUAUGGCGACUCAAAAUAUUAUUAUUUCUAUAUGCAUGAAACGGUUCAAAAAUUCUAAAUAGGCUUACAAUUUUGUUCAAUAUAUUAAAAUUACAAUUAUAGCUGACACCAAAGAAACAUAUAUAUAACUACUAUGUCUCUAGAAUAUCUACCUCAGGGUUUUUUUUUUUUUUUAAGAAAAAAGGAUUGGUUGUAGAUACUUUAAUAUCAACUACACUUCUUUCCAAGUGCAGCUAGAUAACUUUUUACUCAAGAAAUCGAAUGAUCUAGCUCCAUUUUAUCAAUCAAUUCAGAGUAUUAAACCCCAAUUAAUACUAGCUAGUUUGAGGCAUAGGUAGUUGAUACACUAGCUAGUUUAUCCAUAGGUAAUUGCCUAUUCUUUCCUUAUUGACCAGCAAUAUGUAAGGUGUACAAUAUUAUUUCCACAAAUAAGUAUCAUCUUAAGAAUAAUUAAACUAGGACAUAAAACCAAUUUGACCCGGCCAAGUCACAUUGCUAUGAAUGGUCGACCUUCAAUGAUAAAUUAUGCAUUUAUACAAUUUUAUAGUAAGUAACCUAGGAUAAUAUCAUUUCGCAAGUCACUGUCAUAUUUGGCGGCGCAAAUUAUAUAUAAUGAUAUUAGGUAUUUUUGCGCUAGUCCAUACCAACUUGUAUUACCCUAGCAAUAUUCUUAUUAAUGCAAUAUCUUCGUCCUAUGGACUAUAACCAUUAUUAAGUUUUACUAAGUCACAACUUUAAUUAUUAAAUCAAUAGGGAACUAUCCACGCAUGUUUCUCGUAGAAAAAAUAAUGAUCGGGUACAAGUCUACGAGUCGAUCUCCUUACUUUAUUAUUUACAGUUGCGUUAUUUUUUACACGCCACUACUAAACUAACUACUUGUGGAUAUACAUACAUGUAGAUUUUGACAUUGUGGAUAAACUAGUCCACAUUUUCUCGUUUUCGCACAUAUAAGCACCAAAGCUAUUUACAAAAUAGCAUUGUAAAAUUUUUAAAAAUUGGAUUUUAUCUAAAAAACGUAUUUGUUUUUAACUUCUCUAAGGAUUAAUUUUGGUUAUAAUUUAUCUAGAAUAAAGUGAGCGUUUAAAUGCUAAGAUAUGGUAUAACGGCUCACCUCGAAAUAAUUAUCCAAGAUGACGUGGACGGUUCAAGGUGGUAACGUUCAAACUAACGGCCGUUAAAUACCGCGUAGACAAAAUCGUGUUUGAGACCUCUCGACGGAGUCACGGUAACACUCUCCCCGUCUACGCGUUGUACCGAACGAAUCGAACCCUCGCUUUUCCUCGUCUUCGUUUCUCUCUCUCUCCCCUUCCCCCGGUCGAGAGAGAAAGGGAGAGGCGACGCUUGAUCCCUAUAGAGGUUAGAGCUUCCGAGGUAGGUGAAUUUUUGGUUUUGCUCCAAUGAUGAUGAAUUGUUUUCUCGUUAAAGUUGUUGCUUUGAUGAAUCCAAUGGAAGGAAUGCUUCAGUUUGGUGUAGAUUUUGUUGGUAUCGGUAAUCUACAUGGUCUCAUUUUCGGGAUUUGAUGUUUCAAGGGUUUAUGAUGGAUAUAACUUCGAUUAUUUUGCUUCUGAUCAUCUUUUUUUUGUGUGUUGUUUGUGGGAUUUUGGGAGCAUUAUGUUCUUCCUUGUUGGUGUUCUAGGGUUUUCUUCAUCGAAUUAGUCGUAGUUGUUGUUUCCGUGAGGCGUCAUUGUAUUUACUUUGUGCAGGUAGGUGGAUCUGGUUAUAUUUUUAGGGAUUGGAGCACUUGAUUAAUAGAAAGGACUACACCACGUAAAAAAGGACGAAAUUUUGGUUCUAUUUGUUGUCUACUUGGUGGGAAGGAAACGGGAAUGGGAGACCAUGUGGUAUUGAAUGUCGAAAAUCUGAUAAAGCAGGGGACUGAUCCAUCUGUUGAGGUUGGCAGGGGGUUUCCUCCUGCUGCCACUUCAUCCUCUGCAAUAUCUCAGAAUAUUAGCAAUGAGGAAGAAGAGCCGCUCAUUCAGACGGUGGAGUGUCGCAUUUGCCAGGAGGAAGACCACGUUAAGAACCUGGAGACACCGUGCGCUUGCAGCGGGAGUCUAAAGGUCCUGGCCUUCUCUCAAUUCCUUCUUAGAAAUGGAUUAUCUGCAUGAGCUAAUAAAUCUUCAGAAUAUUUCCAUUGAAUGAUUGUUGUUUAUCAUGUGUUAAAUCGGUAGCUAAAUCAUGAUAAUUAUUGGAGCAGAUGUUAUGGAUUUUGUUUCAUAGUCAUUUUUUUACGUGUUAAUUGAUGCACAUCAGAAAUCAUUCACUUGUUUUUAAAUUUAAUUGGAAAGAGGUUUCAUUGAAUGCUGUUAGCUAAUCCUUUUUAGGUAUAUUACCUGAUAAGGAAAUAUUUGAUCCCGCUCUAACUUGCUCCAUAGGAUGUUCAUUAUAUUUGAGUGUCCUAUUAAAGAUAUGGAUUAUGUUCCUAACUGCGAUAUAUGAUUGUAUUUUCUUUUUGUUUAUUCUACUCUAUGAUAUCUGAUAUACUGAACUCUGCGCCUCAUAACAUGUUCCCAUGGAGUAACUUAGUGUAGGGUGUUCUAGGAGGUCUUGAGAAAAAUAUAAUAACCACCACGCAUGGCGUUUCCGUUCCCCACGUGACUCCAGGGCUGAAUGCAAUCCAUUUCUAAUUCUUGAGUUAUUUUUAUGACUUUAUAAUAGUGAUGACUUGUGUUUUGAUGGGCUUUUGGAUGGAAAUUUCCUGCUCAGUUCACGCGGGGGAGAAACUUGUUGUAUGAACCAUUAUGACUUAUGAGACUGUACAAACUGCAUAUAUGGUUGUUCAUGCAUCUCCAAUGUUGGUAUAUGUACACCUAUGAUCUGAGAAGUCUUCAUGUAAUCAUUAUUACAGUAGAAAACAACAUGAGAGGGGUUCAAAUCAAUUUGUUUCACGUUCUAGGGCUGUAGAAAACUGUGUAGUGCUUGUAAGCAAGAUGUGGAUGUGUUUUUGAGACUCACAAAUGCAUCAACUAUCUAAAGGCACUCAUUUGGACAGAAGUAUUCUUUAGUUACCUUUUCACUGUUGGUGUAUUGUUAAUAUGAGGUCCUUUUGAAAUAUCUUAUUCAUGUUAGAUGAUAAAUCUGCAAAUAUUUCCUUGGAAGUAAUUAGUAUGAAAAUAAAUAUGUAUAUCUUAAGAGAGUGAUGGCUUUUACGUUUGCAUAUAUAUUUAUUUUCCUUUUCCAUAGUCUCUGAUACAUUCUAAGUUUGUAUUUGUUGUUUUGCACAGUAUGCCCAUAGGGCAUGUGUACAGCGCUGGUGCAACGAGAAGAGAGAUAUAACAUGUGAAAUUUGCCAUGAGGUUAGCGUAAACUCAUUUUGUGUAUCCUCAAUUAGAUGUGGUCUUUCCACUAUGUCAUUUAAUGUAUGUCCUGUAAUUGGUGUUCAUACUGGAUCUUUGUUUAUUUCAGUGAUCUAUAUUUUUUUGAGUAGAUUAGAAUUGGCUUUAUACUUUACAUUGUAAUUAUUUGACUUUGGAUGAAAAGAGCAAUAAGUUUGUUUUUUUAAUUUUCUUUUUUUUGCCACAUGGGGCCAUGGAGAAGGGGCAGGGGUGAUAGAUACCUGCUAGCCCUCCCAAUUUUGCCCACCACCUCAUCGUCCUCUUCUCUCCUCUCUCUCUGUCUCUCUCUUCCCUCUGUGUGUGUGUGUGUCGCAUGCGCGCAUGCGCGCGUGUUUGCUCAAAUGGGAUGGGCCAGGCCUUAAGAUUCAUAAUUAGGUUGUCUAUUCUUGUUAUACACAUGUUGAGCCUCUCUUAUUGGUUGUAUCAUCUAAGUUGAAAGUUUUCUGAAAUAGUUGGAUUUUUAUGCAUUGUCCAGUCAUUUCAUUGAAUAUAAAUUUUGGUUCCUCAAAAAUGUUCUGCAGCCAUAUAAGCCUGGGUACACUGCACCUCCCCGAGCUGACCCAGAUGAGACCACCAUUGACAUCAGGCAAGCUGUUUGCCACAUUUUCGUCUCUUCUGUUGUCUUACAAUGUGAAUUGAAGUUGACAUUUUUUUUUCUUUCAUUAGGAGUUGUUAUUGUACUUUAGUUGUUAUUCUUGCUAAUAUGAUUAUCAAACCUGCAGCGGAGGUUGGACUAUUACAGGUACUCCUUUGGAUUUGCAUGAUCCUAGGAUACUUGCUGUGGCAGCUGCACAACGCCGCUUUCUCGAAGCCGAGUAUGACGAAUAUGCUGCUACAAAUGCCAGUGGUGCAUUUUGCCGUUCUGCUGCUCUGAUAGUGAGUACUUUGGAUUUCUUGGUUCCUUUUUUUUUGUUGUAUUAGAUAAUUGGCAUGUCAAGGAAACAAUUAUUUCUUAAGCCAUCUCACUCCACAGAUUUUCCUUAUUGUAUGUUUGGUUUCUCCUUUUCUUUUCAUAAAACAGAUUUUCCUUAUUUUAUGUUUGGUUUCUCCUUUUCUUUUCAUAUAAUUUUGGAAACCACAGGCAAUAAAUGUAUAUAUGUCACUUUAAGGGAUCUUUCUCUUUUUCAGUUGAUGGCCCUUUUGCUAUUGAGGCAUGCUUUGACUAUCACAAAUGGCGAUGCAGAUGAUGAUGAUGCCUCUACUAUGUUUUCAGUAAGUGGAGGAUCGUAUGCUUUUCUUCUAUUUCUUGACUUUACCUUAUAUUUUCACUUAAAACCUUCACUUGAAACAUUGUAAUACUCAUACGUUGUUUACAGCUUUUCCUGCUAAGGGCUGCUGGAUUUCUGUUACCAUUCUACAUAAUGGCAUGGGCCAUAAGUAUUUUGCAGCGUCGAAGGCAGAGACAGGUAUCAUAUGGAUGUAGAUUUUUCCACUUUCAUGGAAUACAUUAUAUCUCAGAUGGAAUCUAGUAUUUGUCAGCUAUGGAAAUGGUAGUAACAUUUUGGACAAUAACAGAAUCUUCGUUGUAAUUCAUUAAUUUAAGAGUUGGAAAGAGGUAAUUGACCCCUUCUAGUUGCUAAAAGAAAGUAACUACUAUCUUUGUUAUAUUGGCGCUUUAAAUGGAGUUACUAAUAAUUGUCUUGUUACCAGUUAUUCUUUUCCCAACACACCUAUUUGUCAUUGUGGAUAGUUGAUUAGAUAUUCCUUGGAAUACUUUUCAACAUAAUAUCGAUUAAUGCAUCAUAAAUACCAACUGGAGUGAUCUAGUUUUUAAUGUUUGAUGCAUAGAGCAUCUUGAAAAGUAAAUAAAUUUCUUUAGCGUAAGUAAAUCAUGUAUCAAUUUAACUGUGUUUCUCUUCGAAUUUGCUGACUGAUAAAUGAGGUCAAUGAUGUCUUUCCGCUACAACUAUAGUCACACCCUUCCAUUAUUGUUUAUGUUAUUUUAUUUUUUAAUCUUUAUUGGCUUGCUAUGCUUUAGGAAGCUGCUGCUAUAGCGGCAGCUGAAGUGGCAUUCAUACUUCGAUCUGGGCGAGGUCGGGACCUCCAAGUUACUAUAGUACCCGACUCCCCCGCGACUCCACAGCAAGAGCCUCAUCAAUAGAGUACCCUCCUGUAAGUGUUUGAUCGCAUCUUAUUAUUGUAUGAUCCAGUUUCGGAGAGAAAUUUUGCAUCAAUUCUAACUUUUAAUUUUUAAAAAAAUUAAUUUUUAUGUUCGUUUGUUGUUUAGUUUUGGAAGAGCAGGCCUUCUGGUUAUGAGAUUAUUACUACAUUGGCAUUCUUAUAGCGGCGGCAGAGGGGGGAAACUUGCAGUCACCUGUGUUUCUCUUUUUUGUGUUUUUCUAAGCUUACAUUUUGAUUUGAAUUUCGUAUUUUAUUGGCUUGACGGCCAGACUUUGGUGUUAUGUAUGUAUAUAUUUAAAUUCUUGAGAAUUCAAUGGCAUCAAAUAUUUUACCUAUUUAUUUUUAAGCUUUGAUAUAACUUUAUGGACCUUUUGCACCCACGAGUAAUGUAUGGGCAUUUUUGUCAUUUCAUGCAAGGCCUUGUAAGUUCAUGCAUGUGAGUGCACAGGUAGAGUACGUUUUGGGCUUGUCAUAUUUCUGAUGCAGAAUAGUGCUUGCCUCUUCUCUUUAUAAUAAUACAUGAUUGUUUGUUUGGUAUCGUUUUUACUUUUACUUUUGCAUUUGGUUUUGCUUUCGUUUUCGACUGUGUUAAUCGCUUGUAAAGCAUUUGUUAAAGAGGGGAAUUUGAAAAUUUUUCUGUAGUGAAAAAUAAAAUUAAGAUUUUGAGUUUGGAAAAUGAAAAAUUUUAUGUAAUGUUAGAGAAGGUAUUGGAGUGUACGCGUAUCACUCUACUCGAUGGAACUAUACUGUGACUGCGAAAGGCCUAAUAAACGGCCCAUAGAAUGUAGCGUGUCCUCGAGGCCCAAACCCAAUCUUGAAGACGUACGAAUACAAUACUCAAUACGGGUCUUAGCCCGGUCAGGUUCGGGUUCAAUCCAUACAUCAUCAUGAAACGCGUUUCUUUUCUGCUUCUAUCUAGAUGGUUUUGAAACGCGUUUCACAUCCUGGAACCCACACCACGCGACACCCUCCGCGCUCUUUUUCGCCGCACAUUUUUUUUUAAAACAAUUUCGGAGGGAAAAACCCGCCAUUUCCCAGUUUCGAAUUAACUACACAUCUCAGAGCGAGAGAGAGAGAGAGAGAGAGAGAGAGAGAGAGAGAGAGUGGAGCCGAAGGUCUCUCCGAGCCCGACGACGAGAGUAGGGUGAGAUCUCCGAUCCCUAGAGAGAGAGAGAGAGAGAGAGAGAGAGAGAGAGAGAUUGGUGUCGAGGAUUCCUUUGAUUCUGACGACGAGAGAAGAGGUGAGAACUCCGAUCCGUUUCCUCUAAUGCGAUUCCUGAUCUCAUCUCCGAAGCCUCUUCUGUAUUUUGCAUCCGAUCUAUCAUGGAUCUGUUCCAAUCCAUCUUUACGAUUGAAUUAGCUUAUAAAUUGUAUAUGAUCUAUCCUUGCUUUGCUUCUUUGUGGUCAUUGUUGCUUCCGGUAGAUCUUGUUAUUCUAAGUUGGUGUUUUAUCUGAUUGUAGCUAGCGUUUUGUGUCUGAGUUGUUCAAUUCUCGGAUGUUUGUUAUUUGUUUGAGUUUAUUUGGAUUUUUUUUAUGCAUGUAUUAUCAAAAUUAGUAUAGGCCUCUUUGUUGUAUUGAUCAACUAGGGUUUCAGCAGUUCGUGGAAUGAAAUUGAGUGGGAAAACUAUAUUCCAUCCACAGAUUUGAUCAGUGCGUCGCCGAGAAUUUGGUUGGAUUUAAUUAUCAAAUCACAAACAAUUGUGUGAAUUUUUUGAGAUCUUAGGGACUCUGUGUACGUUGUUACCAUAUGCACGUAUCUGCUGCUUUCUAAUUAAAUUGACACCACAAUAAGGUUAAGUUAGUUGGUGGGCACAUUUGUGGGGCUUUUUCUGAUUUGUGUUCUUUGCUGCUUUGAAUUUAAAUAAUAUGGAUUAUGCUUCUCAUUCAAAUCUAGUAUUCUCUUGGUUCUCCAUUCAAAGCAAAAGUGUUCUCUCAGCUUAACCUUUUCUCAAUUCAUUUUUAUGAUAAUUGACUGUGCUUUUACUGGCUAUUAACCUAUUGCAAACCUUGAAACUUUAACCUGGGUUUUGAGCUUCCACUCAUGGUGUUAUUCUCCAUUGCCAGUUACUAAAAUUCUUAUCAUGCUUUUUAGGUGGAAAAACAAUGACUGUAUAUUUUUUCGGUAAUUGGUGUCUUUCAGCACGUAAACAAGCUGAAAUCUUAUCUGUAGGGAUCAGUUUAGGAGAACUACUGAACAAAAAUUUUUCUUUUUCUUUUUUUUUUUCGUAACUCUUUGAUUGUAAUCUAAAGUAUUCUAUUUUUUUCAGAUCUGUGAUCAAUGAAUACUUAAUUCUCUGCGUUUUGUUAUUUCUCUUCUUCACUUGUUUGGUUCAUUUCAUCAGCCUUUGGAGCUCUCUUGAUGGGUGAAGCCUGGCAGAUGCAUCUUUGUUUUUAUUUGAUCUCCCACCUAACUGCAUUUGCAAGUAAUUGCCCUGAAGUUUCUUCUUCAUGAACUAAUUUCAAUCAAUAUAAUAUUUGCCCCAUUUAUGUUACAUGAAUCUUAUCCUGUCUUGCUAGGGUCUACCUUAUUGUCAAACGACAUUUAAUUAACUCAUUGAAGGCUGCAAUGGGGGAGGUCGAAUUGCAGAGGGUACUGAAGGUGAGUUAUAUUUACUAUUUUCCUUUCUAUGCAAUUAAGUACAACAUGGCAGGACGUAGCGUGUCUAGAUUUAUAGUUCUCUUACUUGCAUGUUGUCAAUAUUGUUUCAUCAAUUUGCCAGAGUUAGCUAAACAUGUUUUUUUUGGUCAAUUUCUUCAUUUGUUUAUAUUUCUAACCAAAUUCUACAAUUUUUUUUGUGUUGUUAAAUACAUAUUAAAAUUCGUAACAGUUUGUCUUACUGAUGACUGUAAUCCUGUAAUGACCUGGUUUAGCCCACAUCAAGCGACUGUCGGAGUUUGGGCAGCAACAACUAUCCAUCUGUCCGUUUCCCAAAAGUCUCUAUUGGCAUCGCAGUUGAAAAAUGUCCAAAGACAUUCUCUGGAACAGGAGUGUUGCUAAAUGUGGCCAUGCCAACUACCUCAGGAAGAGACCUCUCUCAGGGAAAAACUCCAGAAGAAAAUAGGAUACUUGGGACGAUUAAAGACACAGAAGAAAUAUCCACAAAACCUAAAGAACAGAACACUUCGCCAUGGUUCUCAACAAGAUCUAUCCACUAUGAAACAUCAGGGGCAGAGACAGUUCAGGUUGUCGGGAACCAGGCUUCAGUAGUGCAGUUAGGGGAUGGUGUGUACAAGAAAUUAGAUACCUUUUCUUUCAGGAAGAGAAGGGAAGCAGAUGGAAACAUUGAACAAGCUGAAAAGGUUACAUUUAAUACAGUACAGGAAAUGCGCAUUCGGGAAGGAGAUAAAAGCAGAGAACAUCCUAUAGUAAGGACUGACCACAAAAACAAAGCCCUCAAAAUGAAGCUGUGGGAGAUACUUGGUGCUGGUUCACAAAACAAGCAAACUGGUAACUUACCUGAUCUUGAGGAAACAAGAACAUUAUAUGACAAUUGUCAAAGAGAAGUGUCACCAAAAGUUGUUCCACCAGAUGAGCAGAACGAUGGGAAAUUAGCUGAUCUUGAGGACACAAGAACAUUGAACGAGAAUAAUAUAUCAAAAGGUAAAUUACCAAACUCAGAUCCAAUUGAGACUGAUUCCAGUCUAAAUCAAGUCAAAAUGAGACCUGUUACUCAUUCCCAGACGCGCAAUAAAGUUCCACCUGCAAAAGUACUCAAGCUGCAGCACAAGACUCCAGGUGGAAAAAAGCCAUUACCUUCUUUCAGCUCAGACUCUAAGAAGAAACAAGAACAGAAGAACAUUUUUGCCUUUGAUGAUGGAGGAGGGAAACUUAGCAACGUGGGACGAACUGCUAGUGGCACUUCAAACAGUUCUAAAUGGAAGAUUGAGAAUAAGAAGGCUAAAGUUGAACCUCGGAGGAUUCAUUUUCCAAGAAAAUCACCUUCUGGAAACAGAUUGCAGUACACUGAAAGAGAGCAAGAACAACUUGUGCCUGAUAAAGCAUCAUUGCAGAACAAGGAAACAGGGCGUUCUCCUUCUUUACCAGACCAAUUUGAGACUCCAAAAGAAGUAAAUGGUAACACCCAUUCACUAAGAAGAGUGCAUGAGUGUUCGACCUCUCAUAAUUAUGUUGGUAGUCCAUUUCUUAAGAAGAAAACUCAAUCACGGGAAAAUGAGGUAAGUAUGGCAGGGAGAAACAAUGCCCUUCACCAGGAAAAGGUUUCUAAUCCAGGGGUGCCGAAUUAUAAUGACAUUAGAGAUGAUCUGCAAAGUCCAACUUUUGCAAUGAAUGCCAGCGCAUCUCCACAAAAAAGUGAACUACCGGAUGAAGAUUUCUGUAGUCCUUCUCUUCCGAAAAGUUUGGACUGUUCUGGAACAGGAUCUUAUGCUUCAGAUGGGAAUAAAGAAUCAUCUGUAUCCUUUAUCUAGAUAUUCUUUAGUACAUUUAAGAAUGCCAGUAAAGUUGUUGUUUAUCUAGACGACUAGGAGUAGGUGAAAGAGAUGUUGUGCCUGGUCCAAUUGUAGUUUCUUAAUGCGCUAAUCAGAAUGAUACCCAUGAAACUCAUGAGUCGCAAGAAGUGAUACCUCAACACUUUGAGGAAGAAAAAGAAUCUGGAAAGAAACCAUUUGGAACCUCCAUAGAAGAUCAGAUGACUCGAAGCGCUGAAGGAAAGGACUACUUUAGCAACGGUAAAUAUGCUUCUAUUUUUUGUAUUCCUAUUGUUUAGACAAGUGGCAUUGUUCCCAACUUUGCUACUCUAUGCUUGCUUUACAAUCAUAUUGACGGUAAGACAUUGUACUUGUUAUGUUUAGCAAGCUGUCAGCGUUUGUCACUUGUAGGAGGUCCAAUUCCAUGCCCACAUGUCGGUCAAUUAAGUUAGUCAAUGUUGGAUUUUCAACAAGUAUCUGAUCCAGCUUUGAAAAUGAAGUAGUUGCUGCUGCAAUCUUCUAAUCUAACUAUGUACCUAAUCCUAUGUUUGUCUGCCUCAUAUUUGAGAAUGAAUUAUUUGAUAGCUGCAGCUAGAUAGGUAAAUUGAUAAAAUGUUUUGUAGCCACCGAUCCACAGAUUUCUAAUUAUGUUUAAUUUUACUUUUCCGUAUGCAGGAUAUAGCCGGCCUGAAAAAUUGUUUUUAGACUCUGAGAACUGCAAAUCUACUCCCACGUUUCUCAGAAAACAGGGGCACAGCCUCAAGAAUGAAAAAGCAAGCAGAACAAACAUAUCUUCACCUUCUCUCGUUGUCACUUCCCGUAAUAUAUUAUUUUGUUUGCCUCUUCUCUGUUGCUUUUCUUUUUUCAUUUUUAUUUUACUCUUAUCUUCAUUGGCCUCCCUUUUAUUAGGAACAGAAGAAACUGCUCUACUAGAUAAAGCUUCAAAACAGUUCCCAGAGAACUCCUUACAAAGGUCUUGCCUUUUGGUAACUUAAUAUUGUAAUACACACUUAAUCUCAAGGAUUCUCAUAUUUUAACCAUAGCAGGGCUGUUUAUCAGCUGGCACUAGUGCUGGAAAGAUUUAAGACAAAGAUUAAGUCUCAUACGGACAAGAAAAGCUCUGAGAUACUCUUAGCUGCUGCAGAAAAAGUACAGCUGGAGUUACAGGAUGCUGACUCUAAUAUGGAGGCGGAUGUGUAAGUUAUAAGAUAAUAAUCUCAUGCUGCAAUAAUAAUGAUAUACAUUUUGUAAAUUAGCUUAAUAGCAACAUUACUUUCUAUUUUGCAGAGAGAAGUUUGUCAGCUUUGGCAAAUCCAAGAGGAAGCGCCUAGAAUUGAAAUUCCAAGGUAUGGAAACAUUUUACCUUAGGUCCAAUACAUAAAUACAAUAUUGUCUAUAGACUACCUGGGUAAGAAGUUACUACACAAGAUGACAGUAGAAUUACUCCCCCACUCAUGACGCACUGCUGGUUUGCCAGGACGAAAAGAUGCAUCUGUAGUAACCUUAGUAGGAGAAAGUAGCAUAUUAUUGAUAUAACCAACAAAUGUAAAGCAAUUGAUGUUGUUACUUUCUGACACCUUAACCUGCCAUUCACAUCACCAUUCUAUAGAAACAUUUAGUAUAGCAUGCCGAAUUAUCAAUUCUUCACAAUUUUCAUGUCUUACUACCCUUUUAUGCGUUGAUUGCAUAUUUUGCGUGUUCUUGUUUCAAACAAACUUGUCUCAUUACAUCAUUUCUGUAUCUACUGGUGUACCUCAUUAACUGAUUUACUUAUUGUUGGACCUUUACUAUUAUGUGAUAGAGCAACAAGAGAAACUGAAGACCAUACAUGCGAAGUUUAAAGAGGAGGUUAAUCAACACCUUGUGGACUGCAGGAACGCGCUUGAGGAGUUUGAAGCACAUCAGAUAGAACUUAAAGGAAAUGCAGAGAAGCUAAGUAAGUGGAUUUCAUGCUCUCUUGGAGACUUCAGAACCAAAACAUGACUCUUCACAAUAAAUUAAUGAAGAUGAUCUAAAAUAGGAUUGCUCUAAUGAUGUUUGUCUUUUGCUUUUGGUAAUAUUUACACCAUCUUGCUGAACUUGCUGGUUUCCCUCAAACAGAGGCAUUGCACCGUAAGCUUCUUCUAAAUGUUGAGGAAGCAAUAGAGGCUCAGCUAGGUGAAGCGGAAACAAGAGUUGCCGAUAUCCGCAUGGUGAGUCCUUAACCCUCUACUGAACAAAAAUUUCAUUUUGUAAUUACUUAUUCAGAUAAUGAAAUGGGGGCAAUUUACAGUUGAUAACAAUAAAAUGGUUAAAGAAGAAUGUAGAGAAUAGCAUGGAAAAUAAAUUUUUAAUGUAUAAUUCAGUUAUAAAUAUAAAAUGAAGAUGAGAAAUUUGCAUCUAUGUGCUGCAGGAAGCACGGAAAAAGAUGAAAGUCUUGAAACACGUGUUGAAGGAAUGGAUUAUGGAAGGAGAAAGUUGAUCGAUACUUCCCUACAUUGGACAAAAUUUAUAGAUGCCUGUAGCUAUAGGAGUGUAAAUUCCGACUUGCGGAGAUCUUUACUUCGGAUAAAAGCAACUACAGGUAAAGUGAAGCUCACACUUUAGUCUGGUUAUGUUUUAUGUUGAUCGCUAGGGUUAAAGGUCAAUUCUCAUCUGUUAGACUAGCAAAGGCAUACAUUCACGCUAUUCCUUUAACAUUACAUCCGCUAAUUGCUUUACUGCGUAUAGUGAUUUAAUUCCUUGAUAGAUACAUACUUCUAUGUUCUUCUGUAAAUUCUACUGAUUGCUGCAUCCGCCAGCAAGGUACAGAUAAAAAGGAAAUAAAAAAAAGAAAAGAAAAGAGGCUGCUAUGUGACAUGGGAAUUCUGCUUCAGAAGUUUGAUUAACGAGCAGUUUUUGUGGAAAAAUAGUCUCCUAUUUUUCUGCUUUGACUUUUUUGAAUGCUUAUUGGAGGAGAAAAUGGUAGGGUGUAGCCGUUAGGCACGUUUGGAUUGGAUUGUUGAAAUUUCUGUGUUGAAUUUGAUUCGUGCUUAUGUGCAUGUAAUUCAGUGUCAAUCGCAACAUAGCGUUUAUAUUCUUAUUUGGCAUUUGAUAGUUUGACAAUUAUCAAUAUAUUGAUCGAUAUACAGGCCAUUUGGAAAUGGCAUUCAAGUAGAAUAUGAAAGUGUAUGUAAAUGUCAAAGCCUGUGUCCAUUCGAGACUUAUCGUCCAGUAUUUUGCAACCGAAAAGAGUAAUAAAUGUCCUAAUGGGACGUAUGGAUACGUAUCUCUUUUUGUUGUUUAGGUUCAAAAACUUGCAAUAUUUUUUUACUGCCAAAGCUUAAACUAAAACAAGCUUCAUUGCUCAAACAGUAGCGGCUUCAAUUUGAAGUUUUUAAUAUUUUCGUAAUAUGUGGAAUUUGUCAUGCAGAUUUUAAGGUGAAGGAUUUAAUGGCUUAAAAACUUUUUUCAGUAGCUUUACUCAAAGAACAUUUAUGAAAAGGCUACAUUUGAAAACAUGUUAACAGCUUUUGCAGUAAAAUCUCCCAGCAGUCUAUUAGUAAUGCUAAAAGUAAGGCUUGAAACGAGAACUUUGCAAAAGCACAUCUCAACUUCGUACUCCAAUUGAAAUUUACAUCAAAAAACUACUUGAGACGGUACAAAAUAGUGAUUAGAAUAUAUGCAUAGUUAUAUAACUCCAAAGAAGAAAAUUAGCAACUCAAGUAGUUGCAGAGUUUGUUAAAAUAGAACCUCAAAAUGUAGUCCUGAAACGCUGCAGAAAGUAAUAUUUGGUAGAUCAACAAGGCUAGAUGUACUUUGAAUUAUUGUAGAGUUAUUACAACUACCAUAAUAAAGCAGCAGCAGCUAUGUAAACUGCAGAUAACAGAAAAGGAUAGAAAACACAACCAAUAGAUUUUCUUCAAGUGCUCGGUUACAAUUCUGAUUUACUGUUAUAUUAACAUGAUUUAUUGUGCACUUUCAUAUACAAGCACUAUGUGAUGCCAAAAAUGGUGCAUCUGCCUUUUGCAGAUGUCUAGUUAUUAUAUUGCCCCCUUAUUGAAUAAUUAGUAUUACAAAUACACAAAAAUGCUGUAUAAGGAGGGCCCUCAUUUAGUCUCUCCCAUCAUCGUUGCAGAUGGGGAUAAUUUUUGCGACUACUAAAAUUAAGUAAGAAUUUGGCCAUGGAGGCAGAAGCUACAUGAAUAAGUAAUGUUUCCAUGGAGAAGAACCUGUGUGAAAGAAGAAGGUAUGCAUUUUUCACUCGAAUCCAAGAGAUUGUAGGGAUGUCUCUGGGAAAAACUAAAGGAAGUCAGGUUGACCAGUAGAUGUCAAGCAACGAUGCCACAUCCGACUAUUGGGGUUCACCAGCCUAGGAGAUCUAAUGACUUCGGGAAUGGGUAGGUAGACAUAGUGCGUGUUGCAUAUGCCGGUUGUAAUGCCACUAAACCCAGCAAAGGCACCAUGAACCUGUAGUAACAUUUUGUUUGGCGAUCAUUAGUCCAUUUAUAGCACCCUAGAAGUAGAAAUGUAAAUGCCAACGUUGAAGAUGUUUAUAUGUUGUAAAGGAAAUAUAUGAGCAAAACCAUAUGACAAGAGCUAUCCGUAACAAAACAAUACUAUACAGAAGUUCUACUUUUUCUUCAGAAGCAUUAGUAAUUUGAUACGGCUCCCUAAAGAGAUUCUUACAGCAUUUUGUCCAAGUACGGUGCAGAGGAUAGCAUCAGAUGCAUUGGCACGGACUGCUCGGACCAUAUAGGUCGGAUCAAUGUAUUUCACAUCAGCAUGGACUCCUACUUCCUUGAAAUGUCUUUUGAUCUGCCACCAAAAGUAUAGUAUUAUUGUUAAUAGAAGGUAAUCAGGUAUGACAGAUAUGGGCAUAUCUACUAAUAAUUUGUACAAAAGUUGCAUCCUGAUAUUUAGAAUAGAAUUAUGCAGAGAGUACAGUAUGAUAACUUGAUCGCCACACCGCAUAAAAACAUAUUGCCAAGUCAGGUUUCAAAAAAAAAAGGGAUUAAAGAAAGUACACUGGAAAAUCCAUGUCCUCGUUCAAUGUUUACUCAACAAGCAAAGUUCUAAUGGCCAAUAAAGAGGAAAAUCAGAUUCAACAUAUAGAAACCCCCCAACUCUUUUGCUAUUUAAGCAUUACUUUUUCUCCUGGUAAAGAGCCAUGCUCAAUACUCUACCUAUACUGAAACAUGGUUAGAGGAAAUGAGAGACGAACCUGCUGUUGAAGGUGAACUCCAAUGUCACUAAGAACAACAUUUCCUGAUGCAUCUGUUGCAUUUGACUUUUGCAGCAGCUCCUGAAAAUAUAAAUGGCUUAAAGAAAACAGCCUAAAAGAAAUUAUAUAGAAAUUUACAAUCUAUAUACCAGAAGAUGGUAGAAAAGCAUUCUUGUAUACUAUAAUAGAUGAAAAUAAAAUGCACAAAAUUCUUGUAAGAAGAAAUAGGCUACACAGAUUUAAAGGCAUAAUUUUUCGAAUAUUCUCUUACUUGUCCUGCUCCUUCAGCAACACAAACCACAGCAAAUCCUUUGCUUUUUAUCAAAUGUUCGAGGUGUUGUAAGACCCCACUUGGUCCCUCUAAAGUAAAAGGCACCUUCAUUUGAGUGUUACUGAAUUAGAACAGAUAGUCAUAGUUCAUGAGGAAAAGGGUAAACGAACAUGAUUACAAUAUACCUCUGGGAUCAAACAGACAUCUGUUUGACCGCUAGCAAGUGAUGCAUGCAUGGCAAUGAAUCCACUGCUUCUUCCCAUCAGCUUGACCAGUCCAAUGCCAUGAUAAGCACUUUGUGCCUACAUGAGUGCCAAACAAACUCAUCAACAAGAAAAUUCACAGCAUCUUCUUGGUUUUGCAAGGAUGUAUACAAGUAAAACUCUCUAACACAAGUUCUGAAGUACAGCAAAAUAGCCACCUAAGAAGUAUAGGGAACUCUUACCUCGAUGUAUGCAGAAUUGAUUGCCCGUUGAGCUGCUUCUACGGCCGUAUCAAAACCAAAUGUCUUGUCCAUUAGCUGUAUGUCAUUGUCUAUGGUCUUUGGCACACAAACAACUGACACUUUCAGUUUUCUCUUCCGGCACUGCUUCAAAAGAAAGCAGAUAUAAGCAUGCAGGUGACUUAGAUGAUUUCAAGUAUAAAGCACAGAUGGCGUGGUUGACAUCACUUGAGAAUUUACAAAAUUCAGUUUAUAACAGCAAAGUGAUUCAACUGAAAACUUGGUUUUUUACCAAUCAAAGAAGGAAUACCUCAUUGUGUAUUGCAUUAGCCCCUGCAUGUGUGCCAUUUCCACCCAGUACAAAAAGCAUAUCAAUUCCCCUAGCCUGAAAUGUGAAAGUGACAACUAUCAUGUGAUUGCAGUUUAGCAGGGAAUCAAUAUUCGGAAUAUGACCGUGAAUUGUAGAAGAGCUGUCUAAAAACGAGAAGGAAAUUCAUAAUAUAAUUAUAUACGUACCUGAAUGCUGUCUACAAUCUCACUAAUUUCUGCCCCUCCACGAGAAACACCCAACAAACUCCCACCAGCAAGAUUAAUGUUUUCGACAACUUGACGUGAAAGCUGAAAGUGAAGAAAUAACUCAGAAUACUGAUAGAGAGUAUGACCAUCCAAAUCUCCAUUCAACAGACAAAAAGUAGAAGUUCUCACCAGUAUUUCUGACAAGCCCUUCUCGAAAAAUCCACGAUAACCAAAUGGAAUUCCUACUAUAUUUUUAACGCCAUAUUUUUCAAGGGUGAGCACAAUCUGCAACCACAAGAGAAUAUUAAAAUGAGAGAGCAAAGUAGGCUUUCUUUCUGAACCAUUCUUAGAAAACAGCUGAAUCACUCAAGUCUGGCCAUUCGGACCCUGAGUUGGUCCUUAAUCUGGCCGAGUUAUAUCCCCUCUAUUACCAUGGUCAACUUGAUGUAUCAUAUAUUAGCUUAUGGCAUGUAAUCUAAUUGCUAUAUGUGCUAUGAUAAUUUUCCUUGGUUUGUUUAAUAUGUAAUGUAUUUAUAACAUCAUACUGACAUCAGUUUAUUUAAGAAAUCAUGUACAUGCAUCAAAAAAAUUUCAAAGCAAAAAAACAUCAAAAGAUGAUCAUACAUUCUUUAAAUCUUUCUAGUUUAUUACACAAAUUUUCAUGGAUCACUAUUUUUGUUGGAGUUUUGUAUGUAGGGACUUGAACCCAAUAGUCUUUAAACUAACCAAGUCAGGACAAUUAAAACAUGUUUUUCAGAGAAGUUAUUUGCAGUUCCUAAUUGGAAACUGCUAGUAUAAAAUGCCAAAUCUAUAUCGUACAAUCAGGAAACAAAAUUACAAGCUACAAAUGCUAAAUGAAUAGCUAGGUCUCUGUUAGGCUGCAGUGAAUUGAGUGAAGUGCAGCAGAAAAGAAAAUGGUUGUUAAAGCGAAGAUAUUUUAUACAAAGUAAUUUCCAAUUGUGGCAACUAACCUGUCUAAUGACAUCAUUGAGACCAGGACAGAGCCCGCCACAAGUGACAAUACCAGCUUUUACAGCCUCAGGUUCAAAGUAUAUUUGCUGACGAGGCCCAGCACGAUGCACCCUGAAGCAAGACAAAUUAAUUUUGAAAAGGAUAUCAAGGACUCUGCCAGUUAUAUAUUUUUAAUCUCUGUUACUUCAACCAGAAAGGCCGCGAGCAUAGUUCAAGUUAUCAAUGGGUAUAGAAACGAACAACAAAAGAAAUGAGAUGGAGAAAACUUCGCAUGAUGCUUUGUAACCACAUAUGGGAUAACAGCAUAGGAUAAGUCUAGGAGACCAACACAUGUUCCAUGCAUAAUUCGUGUCUUAUUAGGAAGAAAAAAUGAAUUAAACUGACUAGCAAAAUUUUAAUGCUUCAUAUAUAAGUACCAUUGCUCAACCCAUUCACAAUCAGGAUCAAUGCACUCCGCUCCAGCAGAAUUUGGCGAAGCGAACUUAAUAACCUGCUUUCCAGUAUCAAUAUGAAAGAAAUGUUAAUAAUCUCCAGUGGACUGCAUAAACAGAAAGUUGUGUUCACAAUGCACCAAACUAACAGCAAACGAAUCAACUAUUGAAGAACUUGUGAUCUAAAGAAGACCUUUAGAAGGGCCCUGUCAUCAUCAUUCACAUAGCCGUUCCAUCCAUUGAUUGGUGCACCAUUACCAUUGUUUAUAGGACCUCUGUCACAACCAUCAAAGAACAUAACAAUUGUUAGAAGAACAGAAUAUUGUCUCCAACGUGCUUCAAUUAGCAGAUGUCUAGCUCAAUAUUUACAAAGCAGAGGUCUAGCUCCUGAUUACAUAUAACUGUAUAAGCAGCAAUUGGCAGAACAUAAAUGAUCAAUUUUUGAUAUACCCCAAACUUUGAGUUGCAACAUUGUAAGAAGGAAAAGGGUGAAAUCACCUUCUCUUCAAGGAGAAAGUAGUUGGCCUUGGCUCAAUAUCAAGAAUAUCCCUCAAAUGAGGCAAAUUAAAUCGCUUAUCGAAAUCCUCCUGGAAGUGCUUUUUCCAAUCUGGUUUUGAAAACUCUAUCUCUGGACUGACAAAGACAGAUCUAACAACCAUAGCUUGCGAUCCCGUUCUAGCCCUCUUCUCAUGUCUGCUCACUUUUGAACGAUUAAAGCGACAGAAAUGUGGAUCCCCACUCUGACGCAGCCCACAUUGCUGUGGACUGGUAGAACCAACACAAUUAAUUGACGAUGCAAAAGCCAUUUCCUAAAUGCUAGGAUAUCAAGUUGCGGACGGAGUAAGCCAAGCACAAGAAACCUGUAAGCAACAAUAAGAAGAUAAACAUGGUCCUUUACCAUAGUAUUUUAACAUAAGUUAUUAUAACAAUAAGAGAAAAGCUAAACUCCAGUCACCGAUAUCCGAGAAACCAAAUUUUGUUUCCAACCCAAACUACUAGUAAUCAGUUCUAACAAAGUUACAUUUCUGAACUCUGAAGCCUUGUUAUGUUACCCAAAACACUUCUCAAUUCCAAUUAAGGUGCCAAGAGCUACUCUAGAAAUAAAAAAUCACCAUGUUUUUCACAUCAUAAUAGAACCUAACCGAAGCUACAACAACAGAAGGAAACAUCCAACAGCUUCUCAUCACUCUACCACCUUAAAAUUGUGCCUUCUAAGAUUAAAAACCUAUAAUUCCAAAUUUCUUAAUACUUUUCCUAAUACUCCUCGUCACUCUACUUACCAAACACGCUCCACUAUCUUUUCAUUCUCAAAUCAUCAAUAACCAAACGUUAAAAGCAUUUUUGCAGCAAUCAUAUGAUCAUUAAUUCAAUUCGACCCCUCUCCCAGCUUCGCAUCAACAUAACAUACAAAAACAAGAUUACGCGAACAAGUUUACCGAUAUCAUCAUACAAUUCACUGCCAAAAACACGUCGAAUUCAGAAGAUUAGCACAUCUACAAUAGAAUCAAAUAAAAUCCAACCAUAACUGAAACAUUAAACUACAAAAAUUAACAAACCAAAUCAAUGUAAUCACAAAACAAUCAAAUCAAACGGAAUAAAAUUCCCCACCUACCAAUCACGAGACCUUCGCUUUCUCCUCCACCUACCUCCAAACCCAAACCAUAAAAAGAAUCGAGACAAACCGCUACAAAUUCGAAUCACCUCGAAUAGAAUCGAAGGAUCGGAGACUCCAAACCCUACUUCGCCUCGGAAUUCUCCUUUUUCGCUCUCUCUCUCUCUCUCUCUCUCUCUCUCUUCCAAUUCCACCUCCUUUUAUUUAUAAAUUGAACGAGGAGGGAAGGUAAAAGGCGAAGGAGAAAUCGCCCCUUCGUACCUACAUUAUUUUAAUGAUGGUCGUAGCUUAAUUAUGAGGUGAAGUUACCGCCCCCAAUUCGCGCGUGCGAUGAAAUCGGAGGAGCGGGCCCACUCGGUUUUUAUUUCGCUGCGAAUCUGCGAUUGCGUUAUUCGGUAAGUACGUUGAUAAACAUACGCCUUAUUUUUGAGAGUUGCACCACUCCCCUAAAAUUCUUUUUUACAAGAUAUUUUAUAAAAUAUGAACAAUAUAUAACGAGCUUAAAAAUUCACUAACUCCACCAGUAACUACAAGAAUGAUCAAACCAGAAUUAGAAGCUCAAGACUCGCUAGUUAGACCAAUAAUAUAACGCUAAUCAAAAUAUCAUUAAUUUUGUAUUACUAAUUUAAUAGUAUUGAAUAAAAUUACUAACAACGUAUUUUCAAUUAUAUUGGUUCUAUUAAAUUACUAAAACACUAAACAACCAACAUUUGUACCAAAAAAAAUUUGAAUAUUAAUUAUAAAAUUUAUAACUUAUCUGAUUGUAAUCAAAAAAAUUUAUUAUUUUAAUGCACAUUUACUAAAAGCUAAGCUUUAUAAGGCUUAGUUUGGUAUUGAGGUCUAUAUAACGUUAUUAGAUAAAAUAGAGUUGAGGAAAAAGCAUAUAGGGAUAUGCUUCUGCGUUCUCCGGUGGGACCGCAGAAAAUAUAUCGUAACUGACUCGUCGCAAUAUGCAGAACGCAAUAUUACGUACGGAAACAAACAGGAUAUUUUUUCAACGUACUUUCUCACCGCAAUCUCAAAUAAAAUCUAAAUCAAUUUGAAACUAUGUAGAUGGUGCUUAAAAUUAUAACUUUGAAGUAUUCCUUCUAAAAAAAAGUGAUGGGAGGGGGAAAAUAGUAGUGUAUUUAUCAUUUUCCUCGUUCUAAUUGGGUGUGCUGACGCUGGUGGGACAUGCGGACGUCAAAGGAGACAGGUGAGGGAUGCCGGUCUAGAAACCAGCUGAGGGUGCGGUCACUUCCGGUGAGCUCACCUCUUUUCUUUUCUCUUUUUUUUUACUUUAAAAAAAGUUUAUUUAUUUGGGCACCGUUGCAGAAUUAAGCCACGAGGAUCACGUGGCUGGUCACGUGCAGGAUUCUACAUGGGCCGGGUGGGCCGGAAUGGUACGACCCGUUCCAAUUUUUGUUCAAGCUUUUUUUAAAGACUUUAAUUUUAAUUUUCUGUUUUUACUUAUUUAUCUAUUUAUUUAUUUAAUGUUGAUGUUAAUUUUUAAUUAUUAAUUACUUGUUAUUGCGAAGUAACCUGUAAGCAAAGUUAAGCGUUCAUAUUCUCUUUGUUGACCUUUCCGGAUAGCGGUCGCUAGGCUAUAUAUUUUGAAAUUUAACUCGGCUUAAAACUCAGUCUAAACCCGUUACGAAAACAUUAAUAUUGACUAAUCUCAAAUAGCUCUUUCUUAGAGGGGACUGCUACGAGCAAUAACAAAUAGAGACUACUAAUUAUUGGUGAGGUAUAGGUCAAAGAAAUAAUUAUAAAGCAGAAUCCCCUGAAUGGAAAUUUAGAUCGUCGUUUUUCAACAGAUAUUAAGUAAUGAGGAGACUUUCUUUAAUUUGUUGCGUAUUCCAAUAGAUCUACAUCACAAUUUUUAUUAGUUAUACUAAAUGAGAGUUUUAUCAUUUUAUAAUACUGUAGUAAUACUGUUUUGCCAUGAAUAAAUCCCAAGAGCAUCAUGCUUUGUUGUUGGCUUUUACUUAUUUUAUUACUAGAAAAUAAUAACGUACCAAAUGUGUUUCUAUAUUAUAAUAUUAACUAUUGUACUUCUAUAUGGAAUAUGACUAUUGCAAUAUCACAUGUGCAUGCUGUUCUCGUGGGUUUGCUAUUAUUGAAGGAAUAUUGUUUAUUUUAAUUGGUUAAUAGUCCUUGCUCGCAUAAUUGUGUAAACAAAAGGCUUGGACAAUAUAUCCCCCCUAGACAAGGUAGUUUAGACGGUUAAAUAUCAAAAUUUUAGUUCCGAUGAAUUACUUAUGACUAUGUUAAAUCACUUGAAUAAGUAUCUGAUCAUUUAGUAUUAUUUCAACGUUUGCUAUAAGGCGAUGGCCUACAUUUGUAAAUGGGCCAAAUUGGCCGAUUUGCACAACUUAAAUGGGCUAUAACUUAUCUGGCCCAUGUCAGAACAUAGCCCGAAUCCCAAUAUUGGGUCCAGGAGUUUUUUUUUUCCUUUUUUUUCCUUUUUUUCUUUUUUUUUUUUUUAGCUCUCCGCACUGAUUAGGGAUGCAAAUGGGUGGAUCCGGGGCGGGAGAGUUCCCCCACCUUCCGCUCCAUUUCUUAUCGGGGCGGGGCGAAUUCGGAGCGAGUUACUUUUCAUUUAAUUUUUGGCUCCCACUUACCGCUCCAUUCGGGGCGGAUUGGGGCGGGAGCCGGAUUUUUGACUGAUCGGGAUGGAUUGAAGGAAGAAAAGAGUCACCCAUCUCCCGCUCCAUUUACUUGGCGGAUCGGGGCGAAUUUGGGACGGAUUAUAUUUUUUUAUAUUUUUUGUCCCCACUUACCACCCCAUUCGGAGCGGAUCGAGACGGAGCUCCACCAAUCCGGAUCCAUUUGCAUCCCUAGCACCGAUCCACGAAUAACCUUUCGAUGGAUCUCCACCUUUAUCCAACCAAUUACUAUUCGGUAGAUCAAAUGUUCCAACGAGAGAAGGCCACGUGGCAUUGAUUUCGACCUUACCUCGAGAAGCGGGUAGAUGGGGGAGCUGGUCCGGCGCACGAUGGACCACGUGGGCUCGGUUUGCCGGCCCUCUCAAUCGUGGGCCCGCAUUUUGGGCCCAAUGUAGGGGGGUUUUUUCCCUCUUUGAUGGAGGCAGCUGGAUAAAUUUAAAAAUGCACGAAUAGGAUCAAGCGAGCACAGAGUGGCCUCGGAAAUUAUUCCGUGCACCCGGUUCACCGUGCACUACACUCACUCUUUUAGAUUCUCCCCCCAAUGAGAAUUUAGUUUCUCUCUCUAGGGAAGAGAAUGUUUUAUUGUAUUAAUUUUUAAAUAUGCAUGCGGUGUAUGAGAUAUACGGAUGCAUUUGGUGGAGACAAUAAUUUCUCGGUGGCUUGUACGUUAGAUAUGCCAACCUGUUGCUUUCCAAAGGAAAGGGAAUUAUCGCGUAUGAAAACAAAUAUAGUAAUUGCACGGAGGGCCCAUUUAAGCCCAAUUGGCAUUGAUAGUAGGCUUGGAUCGAUUUGGUCCUAUAAUACGAGUGGAUGUGCAUUGGGGGACGUGGAGUCGGCUUGGUCCUUGCCACGUGCAAUUCAUAUUUAUCGGUAUUUUGUUUCUGCAUUUAGCUACAGUUAUAGUUACAGUUAUCCUAACAUCCGACAUAUGCAAAUAUGUGUCGAACUUUUCGUCUUCUGAAUUUGCUGUAGAAAAAAAAAAAGUUAUGAAAAAGUCUUUUACUGCCGUGCUUUUUCAAAUUAUAUGUUUUUAGAUUUUGCUAUAUAAACUAGUAUUGUUUAAUAAAAUACUACAUAAAAAGUGCCAAUGAUAGAUGAGGCAUAUUUUGUUUUCAAGAGUCAUUGACUGAUGAAUAGCGCUGCAACCUACGUCGGGGGACCAUUGAAUGUUUAUCCACACCACCUAAGUUUUAUUUAAAUUUGUGAUUUUGAGAAUCCUCCUCUAAAUACGAUAAGAAUAAACAUUUAAUAACAUUGUUCUCUCGCAAUUAUUGAUAGCAUAUUUUUAAAAAAUAUAUGUUUAUUUUGUGAUUGUGGAACAAUGUCGUCCUGGAUUACGCGGUGGUAACAUGCUGUGGUCUAUCCCAACAACGAUCUCGCACGCGUGCUCGCACGAGUGGUAGUGAUUGCUUCAGUGUAUUGAGCCCAAAAAGACGAACAGUGAUACUGUUUCUAUCUGCUUCUUCUCGAAGCUGAUAACUACUGGGAGUAAAUGAAACAAGCAAUUAAUUCGACGUGUCCAAAAUUAUUAUUGGCUCUUACAACUAUUGAAAAUGAUGAUCCUGGGCCCGGAAACUGCUUGUCCAUGCACAGGGAUCGUGUACCAAAUCUGGAACAUACAAGAUUAUCACAAUACAUCCAUGCAUCAGCACCAAUAUUAAAUUGGCUUAUUAUUUCAUCCCCAGUUGUAAAACCAAUUCUGAACCAUUCAUGCUGUUUUUAAUUAGUUGUAGAUGCGUUUCAAAAAAGUUACACUUCUGUCCACUUUCUGAUAGCCGAUAUAGAUUGAAUGGAAUAACAUAAUCAUUUAAGACAGGAUUCACAAUCUGACUUUUCUGUUUUAAAAUAUCAAUCAACUUUUGAGCUCAUGGAAGGCGCUUCAUUGAAUUGCUAUUUUCUUUCUUUUUUUUUGUAUUUGUACUUUAUUCAAUUUUAUUUUUAUUUUUAUUUUUAUUUUUAUUUUUAUUUUUUGGAGGCUCUGACUGUCUUCACUAUCGAUGUUGAAUUUAUUUUCUAUUAAUAAAUGAAGUGGAUAGUUUACUAUUUUUUUCUCAAAACAAAAAACCAUUUAUAGUAAUAAAAUUAUUCUUAAUUUUGAUAAUAUUAUUGUAGAGUCAGUACUGAGCUCUCUUAGUUUCAAAAAAAUAUCCAAAGUUCGAAUUUAUUAUCCUCAUUUUCACUGGUCACCACUCCUCGCACUCUCUCUCUCUCUCUCUCUCUCUCUCUCUCUCUCUCAUACACAUUUGUAUACUCUGGAGAGUGAAGUUUCAACAGAAUAUCUAUAGUGCGUUCAAAAUUAUUAAUCGUCCUCGUGUGGGAGGUUUGCGUACUAUGAAACAUAUUUGAUGUAUUUAUACAAAGUUUAGUGUAUGUAUUUGUUCAAGCUUAGAUAAUGGUAUAAGAGAUUCAAUUAUGGAACUUACGAAAGAAAAUGAAAUGAUGUUUCAUAGUAAGCAAACGACAAAAGACAACACAAAAAUAAUAUUCACAGCAAAAAUAAUAUUAUUAUAUAUGCUCAAUCUCCAUUGACAAAAGUCAAAAUUCGUUAUAAAUUUUUAAUUUCAAAGAUAAACAAAAAACCAGCCUAAUAAAAAAAUAUAUAUAAUAAAACACUAAGGCUGCAUUUUAUAACAAAAUAACUGAAAAAAAAACUUUUUCCCCUUGUAUUCUGCCAAUUACAAUUGCAUUUGACAUAAAUAUAUUUGGAUCCAAAUGAAUUAUUUCAAGUUAUUAUGAAAUAACUGUUGACGGUUUUUUCUUUCUACCCUUGAAAUAGAGCUAUUAUUUAAUUUAUCGAUCCUUUGUCUCGCUUUUUACGUAACAUUUUAAUAAACUGUAUAUCAUACCUUUUCACUAUUCUUCAUUAUUCUUAAAGUUGUGAUCAAUUAGAGGAUAUUCUCAAAAUAAGAAGAUAUUCCUAAUUUAAUGGUAGAAACUCAUUAAAGAGCUAUUCCUUCGUAUUUGUGAAAUAACCGUUAUACUCUAAAAGCUUAAACUAUUAGAGAACGGUGUUUAAACAUUUUUAUAUUUAAAACUUCCGCUCACGUCCGGGUUCGAGACUUUUUAGUCGGCCCAUAACGUGGGCUAGAAUUAAAUGGAAGGAAAUUAAUAUGUUAGGAGUCUAGCGUGAUUUGAACUCAAGACUUCCUGCUCUGAUCCUAUAUGAAACAACCGUUAUAUUCUAAAAGUUUAAGCUAUUAGAGAAUGGUGUUUAAAUAUUUUUAUAUUUAACAGUAUCCUUUAAAAUAGGGCUAUUAUUUGAUUUAUCCUGUCUUCUCGCUUUUCACUCCACCAUCUCCUAUCUUUUUGCUAUUCCUAAGAAUCCACUCUCUCCUACCCUUUCACCCUUCUUUAUCAUUCCACUCUCUCCUACCCUUUCACUCUUCUUUAUCAUUUUUAUGGCUAUAUUUGGUUAAGGGAUAUAUUUGGAAGAACAAAAGAGAUUUUUUAUUUAUACCCAAACACCAAUAAACGAUGAUGGAAUACGUUGUUCUGGUUCAUGUCUAUUGUUUUUUGUAAAAAAUAUUCCUUUCUUCAUUUUAUUAUAUAAAUAGAUAAGUAAAUAGAUAAAUAUUUUUGGAUAAAUAGAUAAAUAAAUACGUCAUUUCUCUCUUUAUUUUUGGAUAUCUUUCAAAAUAUUUCUGGAUAAAUUCGAAUAUAAAUUUAUUAUUGUUCUAGUUUAUAUUAAAAAUAUUUUUUAUUCUCGAAACUAUAAAUGUUAUCCCCAAAAUUUAGUUUUUGAACGAAACAAAGCUUAAAAGAGAAUAACAAUUAAUACAUAAUUUUAUGUAUCAAACCAAAAAUAUGAUAUUAUUCAAAAAAAUAAAAAUAAAAAUAUCUACACAUUCAAGAGUCCGGCUACUAUACUCUUAUGAGUACGAUCGUCCUUGUAUUCAUAAGUUGUUUUCGAUGAUAGAGUUUCCGAAUCGAUGAUCUAUACCGUUAAACAUUAUCUAGAACAUUUAAAAUUUAUAGAAAUCAAAUUUUAUAAUUUUUCGAUAUAAUUUACCUUACGAUCAAAAGAUUACAAAAUUGACAAUUUUUAACGGCCGGUAUGAGAUAAUUGAUCAUAAAAUUGACAAUUUUAACAGCCGGUAUGAGAUACUUGCAAGUUUAAUGGUGUAAAAGAGUCGGAAUAUGUUGAAUUUUUGAUAAAAAAUUCUAUUCACUACCUAAAUAAAGAUCAAUAACUCCGAUCUUAAAUUGAAGGAUCUAAUCAUCCAUUUUUAAGAUGUUGUUUGAUUUUGACCGAUCAUUUUAUACCCACUUGAUGGACUUUAUAUUGAUUUCAAAAAAUUACAAAAUUUGUUUUCUAGAAAUUUUAAAUAUUCUAGAUCAUGUUUAACGGUAUGAAUCGUCGAUUCGAAAACCCCAACAUUAAAAAUAAUGUAUGAGUGCAAAAAACUUUAUACUCAUAAGAGUAUAAUAGCCCUAGCUACUCCACAUUCAAAUAUUAUUUCAUAUAUAUCCAAUGCACCUAGAAUACACUAUCUAUCAUCACUCAUCAUUCUUAUCUCCCCGCCUCACCCCCGGCCAAAAAGAAAAAAUACCAACAAACUAAUCCUUAAAAAAAAAAAACUGUGCAGUCUUCUUUUUUUUUUUUUUUUUUUUUUUUUUUUUGUUCUCUCAUUUCACGACAGUUUCUCUAACUAAUCUAAAAUCAUUAUAAUUUUCUGCAUAUAUUUUAUUUAAAAUAAGAUACCCAACCAAAAUGAAGUUUUCACGAAAUAGUUGAGUGGAAUUCACUAACUCGAUCUCGAUCCUAGCGCAUGUAGAGCGCCGGCCGAGCCUGCACACGCGAGAUCGCGACGUGCCCGGCGGCGCCGCCGUGCUGACGCGCCAGCCCCAUCUCCAUCUUCUUCAAGCUCUCCAUCUGGUACCGCUCCACUCGAUGCUCGCCUCGCUCGGCUCGUACGCCGUCGUCGGCGCCGACUCCGUGAACCGCCCCGUGUUCGUCGAUAUGCUCUCGAGCUCGAACAGCUCCGAGCUCGACUCGCUGCGCACGUCGUCAUCCUCCUCUUCCUCUCCGUUUUUAAAUCCGCUCCCAACGGUCACUUUUCCCGCCACGGGAUUCAAAUUCGGCGGGAAAGAGAGAGCCUCCUCUCUAAGCCCGAGCCCGAGCCUCUCCAUCCGCAACUCCCUCACAAUUUGCUCUUUCGCCUCGGCGAUUCGAGCCUUCUCGCAUUCCGCCUCCACUUCCACCGCGUUUCUCCCCGAACACGAGCACCGGAAGACGCCGAGGAACUUCCUGCCGCGCGGCUUGUCGGGAGGCGGCGGGGUCAUGUCCCGGCGGCGGCGGUCGCGUAGCAGAUUACUCCGGCUGUUGAAGCUCGCUUCCGAACUCGUCGUGCUCUUCGUCCCGGACUUCGACUUCGCGCUCGGCGCUUUCUCCUCCGUCGCCUUCUUCGCUCUGAUCUUCUCGGCCGCCGCGCGCUCCAAUUCGCCGUCCAUCACCCCGCUGAAGUACUUCUCCGCGCCGAAUAUAUCGAUCUCGCCGUCGUCGGCCUGCCGUCGGUUCGAAGCGGUGAGGUAGGAAUUGAAUGAAUCAUCUUGGGGAUUGAUUGAGGCCAUGAUGAAGAAGAGUGAGCGGUGAGGUUGGUGGAACUGUACUGUGGCAGAAGAUGAGGCUCGAAUCUUGGGGGGUGGGGGUUUAAAUAGGCGAGGAGGGAAAGCGAAGGAUCGAGGUGGUGGAAUCCAUAUCGAUGUAGAGAAACAGUUAAAAGAUAAGCCGGGGAGGAGAGGGGAAGGGGAAGGGGAAGGGGUUCUGUGUUGAGGAUGGAAGGGUUAAUGAGGGCCAGGUGUUGUUAGUAGGAGUCGAGGGGGACGCUGUAGCUAUUUAGUUGGAGACUCAAGGGAUCAAGGGACCACACAAUAGCAUAGGGUACAUAAUAAUUUGUGCAAUUGUUAGAUAGUGAUAGGAGAGCUUGAAAUUCUUUUUUGAAAAAAAGGAUGAUUGAUUUGGUGGAAUAGUAAUGUUCUUAUCUUGUGUGAACAUUAUUUGUACCUUUUCUAUGUGUUACUUAUAGGAGUCCAUUUAAUUUUUUCAAGUUUGAAGUCCUUGCCUCACUAGAACACUCUCAUUAAAACAUAUGAAUUGGAUCGCGGUAUAGAAUGUGAAUGGUGAGCUUAUUAGCUGGAUAAUAGUGAGGGACAUAUCACAUAUAUAUAUUUUUUUCAAAACUCAUGCAACUUAUGCUUUUGCAAACUAUAUGAUUUAUAAGAUAAAACACUUUAUUAUUUUGUUUAUUCUAUAUUUAUGAAAAACCGAGAUUGAAAAAAAAACAUAGAAAUGCUACAAGCAGGAGGAUUUAUUAAAACUUGUUUUUUUUUUCUUUUCCGUUUGUAAGAAUUAAGUGGGAUUUUUUUCACUUCGAUCUUCUCAAUUUAAAGAGCCAUAUGAUUGAGUGCACAAAUGGGCCCAAUUUCCAGGCCUAAGCUGGGAAUUCAUUAAUUGGGCCUUCCCAGCCUGAUAGGCUGAUAGCACCGUGGGUACGUCCGCAUCGCCCAGGCUUGGUCCAGCGAAGGAGAGUCGUAGUCGUUUGUGUUCUAGACCCGGUCCAUUAGACUUGGUAGAUCUCAGAUGAAAGACCCAUUAACAAAUUGGUUUGCUCCUCAACGAGGUGAAGCACUAUGUUUAGUUAGGCUGCAGCUUCGUUUGAGAUUGCGGGGAGAUUGCGUUACAUGCGGUGAAAAAUGACGAUGGAAAAAUACCCUGUUUGUUUUCGUACGUAUUAUUGUGUUCCGCAUAUCGCGAUGAGUUGAUUACAAUAUAUUUUCGACAGUUCCACCGGAGAACGCAGAAAUAUAUCCCUAUAUAUUUUUUCUACAACUCCAUUUUAUCUAAUAGUGUUAAAUAGAACUCAAUAAAUCACUAUGUUUAAUUUUCCAAAAAUUAUUGCAUGGACCAGAGUCUAAUAAAUUGAGAUAUCUGAAAAAGUAAAAAAAAAGAAAAAAAGAAAAAAAAGAAAACUGAGCUCUUAAUCCCAUAUAAUAUGAAUGGUACAUUAUUUAAAACUGCUGAUAUUUCAAGGUUAUGAUCACAUUUAACUAUUACAUUAAUUUUUUUAUAUUUAAUGCGCACUGCUAGGUAGUAUUAAUUUUUUUUAAUUUAUUUCUUAACUUCUAUCUUUUUUAUAUUUCUUUAAUUAUAAAUUUUUUAAAAAUUUAUUGUCGGCAUGAUCCGAGUCCAAAACUCCAACAAGUAGGAGCCUCAGACUCCAUCCAAUAUUUUUAUAUGAGACCCCACCAGACAAAGAAUAUAAAUCAUUACUCUACAUUAAUUCUCUUUUUAUUUUUUAUUUUUGUUUCAAUUUUAUCUUUAUUUCAAAAAGAAAAAAAAGAAAUGAAGUUGACCUAAAAUUAAUAUAUAUUUUUAAAAUUUAUCUUUUUUUUUUUACUUUAUAAAUAAAUAAAUAAAUAAAUAAUGGCUAAUUAAUUAAUUAAUUAAUUAGUUAAAAAAAUCUGGAUGGGAGCUCACGAUGGCGCCGCGUGGCCGGGCGCCCACGCGGCGCCCAUCAAAGCGGGCAACUAAUGCAAAUUUUUUCCCCGCCGAAAAAUUUUGGCGCCGGGUCGCGAAGAGCGUUCCCGCCACCUCUGCCCCGCCAAAAUCUCUCCCCUCGUUUUCUCUCUCUUCCUCUCCCUCUCCCUUUAUCCCCUUUCCAUGUCAAAAUAUCACAGAGAUCUCACAGAUCCCAUUCCAUUCCCAUUCCCAUUCCCGUUUCUAUCCUCGGCCAUGGACAUCUCCUCCAUUGCCGCAAAGCUCGGUCUCUCCACCUCCAAACCCCUCAUCCGCAAAGCCGAGGAGCUCCGCCGCCUCUCCGAUGUCCAAUUCGACUCCUCCAUCAUCGGCGUCGUAAGCUCUCUCCUUCCUCUCUCUCUCUCUCUCUCUCCCUCCCUGAUCUAUUCCUUUUUGAUCAAAUUGUUUUGAUCUGAAAUUGGUUGUAUUUGGUUCAGGGAGAGGUGUGCAAGGCCAUCAUUUGUUUGGAGAUCGCGGCCUCGAGGUUGUUUAUCAUGCACAUCAACUGUUUGACAUAUUGUCUUUCAGGAUUUCGGCGGCAUUUAGAGCUGAAUUUUUGGAUUGGGUUUUGUAGAUUUCAGGUGAUAUUUGAUCGACAGAGCGCGAUAAGAUUGAGCGGGAUGUCGGAGAAGGCGUACAUGAGAUCCUUCAAUGCGAUGCAGAACGGUCUUGGAGUCAAGUGGGCUCUCUUCCGUCUUUAGCGUAUUUGUGUUUGUUGAGAAGUUUGUAGUGAACUUAUGUUGAUAUCCUUUGAUGGGUUUAAUUUUGCAGGGCUACUUUGGAUGUUAGAGAACUGGGGAUUCAAUUUGGUUGUGUUAGGUUGAUUCCUUUUGUGCAGAAGGGAUUAUCUUUGUAAGAUUCUUUCUUUGUAAUUCAUGUGUAAGAUUAUGAUGGUAAAUUUAUCUUUGAUUGGAUACAUUCAUAUUGACGUGUGAUCAUCUGAUGUUGGAUUUCAGAUACAAGGACCGGUUCCUAGCCGCAUUGCCGGCUUCUCGUCGUGCUAGCACGGACUUCAAUCGUCCUGUUUUUACUGCUGUUGCUUUCUAUUUAUGUGCAAAAAGGCAUAAGGUAGUUUGAUAAGAUUCACUAUUUGAUUGAUCAAUUUUUUAUUUAUAUAGAAUUUAGAAUGUUUAUGCAAGCAUUUUAAUUCUCUCUUUUUUUUUUUGAUUUCCUUACAGCUUAAGGUGGAUAAGUUUAAGCUAAUAGAGUUAUCUGGUACAUCUGAAACAGAAUUUACUACUGUAAGUAAUGAUAUGUUUGAGUAUUUGCUAUUGUAUUUAUCCCUGUGUUUGCACCAUAUAUAUCAUAAUCCAAAAUUUCAAUUUGUCUUAUGUUUUUAUUUAUUUCUGCUGAUAUUUAUAUAAUAUUUAAUCUUAUUUUCUAUUUCAGGUCUCAACUUCUAUGACUGACCUUUGCUUUGAUGUUUUUGGGGUUUCCAAAGAAAAGAAGAAUCCAAAAUCAAUUAAAGGGCAUAGAGGUAACUUUGUUUUCCUCACAAUGGGUGAUUAUUUGCUCUUAAUUUUUUUUUUGUACAUUACACAUCCCUAUAUAUAGCUUGGCCAGCUUCUACUGGAGUUCUUAUAUCAACUUUUUAAUUCCAGAGCUUUUAGAUUCAUUGCCCUGCAAAAGAAGACGCGACGAUGAUGAAGCAUUUUCUGAUGAUUCCUCUGGAGACGAGAAAAAUGUAUUUACUAUUCUUUGAUCACUAAUUCAUACCAUGUUUCUUUCCUAGAUCAAAAGAAAGCCUAGACAUGACAAUAUAAGAAAGUCCCCCUGAGAUCUGGUGCUGAAAUGAAGUCAUUUUGUUUAAGCUCUUCCUAUUUGUGAAUUUAGUGGCCAUUUAUAGAAUGUUAUUGUUUUUGUAAGCCAUGUUUUGCUACUCAAGACUCUUACUAUGGGUGCAUCAGAUUUCAUAAAGCAUCGACAGUGGUCAUUUCUUUAUGUAAGCAUUUCAUUGUCGCCGCAAAUAAUCUAAAACUUGUGAAUUAUGACCAGAGUUUAGAUGCACAGUAGGUAAAUUCUAAAGCUAAUACUAGCGCGUGGAAGUUCAUAACCUAAGAUAAGUCUACAUAAAGCCACAUAAGCCCUGUCGUUUUGUUCUAUUUAUUUGCUCGUCCUUCGAUCCUUUCUCCUUUGUUUUUCUUCUGAUUGACCAUCUUAUAAUUUAACUAGUUUAAUGCACAUUCAGAUGUCGUGUUACAAGAAGCACAAAAAGAUGCAGAAACAGGCUUAUGAAAAGUGGAAGUCCUCUGUUCUUUCCUCUAACAAUCAAAGCAGGACAGGUAAUAUUUUUUUUCUUACCUUUACCAAUAGCAUGGCUUAUUAUUGUUAUUAUUAUUAUUAUCAGCAGUGUCUGAAUCUUUAACUUAUGAUUAUUAUUUUUUAACAGCUCCUCUCAGGCCAAGAAAGCAAGCCCGACUUAGCUUUACGAAGAAAUCUUCGGAGCUGAUUGCUGUUGAGGACACUGCUUAAGUUACCGAAUUAUGCAGUGCAGUGCCAUAUGAAGCACUUCCUCUGUUCAGAUUUUUGACUAGGAGUCUUCGAUGUUUUGUAAUUAGAUUAGUUUCUAAUUGUCUACAAAAAAGAGGAAGCAUCUGAACAGAUUUUUGAUUUUUGUAAUUAAGCUCUGUUUUAACGAGUGGUCUCUUCUAAUUGUCAAGCUACUGAGAGUCUGAGAUUGUCUUAGUUGAUUGGUGUUUCUGAUCCAAGUUCAUAUAGGAUAUUUGAUUAUUUCUACUUUUGUACCAGAGUUUACUAACUUAUUAUAUCCUGAAAAUUUAUGUACAAAAAAAUUACAAAUUUUGAAAUGUAUUAAUUAGACAUCAAUUAAUCUUAAAAAUUAACGGAAUGAGAAAAAUAUUGAUUUAUAAAUUUAAUGAAGUUUACUUGAGCACGCCUGGUUGGCAGUUUCUGGGGAGGUGAUCUCACCGGUACAAGGAAACGUAUAAAUUGGUGCUCUCCCCUUCGCACAUUUCACUGUUCCCUUUCGUCCCCUUCUCUCUCCCUCUUUUCUCUUCGCCUCGCCUCGUCCCACUCGAUCUUUAAGGAAACCCUCUAGGGUUAGGGUUAGGGUUAGGGUGAGGGUGAGGGUGAGGGUGAGGGUUUUUGAAGGGAGGAGAUCGAGACAUUUGAGGCGAGGGUGGAGGAUGGCGCCCAGGAAGGGAGCGCCAUCCACUCGGGAACUGCAGAAGAUCCUCGACAAGCUCGAUGAGGUCGCGCACUCUCCGAUUCUUGAUGUGUUUGUGUUCAUUAAUUUCUAAGAUCGAAUUCCAAAUUAUAUAUCGGAAUUUGUUUUCCAUAUGCUUGCUUGCCCUUAUGAUCAGAUUGCUAGGUUUUUGUUGGCGAUGGAGGGUUCUUGGAAUUUGAUGUUGUGGUUUAAUUCUCGCUCAAUUUGUUUCCCCUCUAAAGCUCACAACAUAUCUGGUCUCAUUCAAAUGAAUUUUGGGAUUUUCCGGAUCCCGAUCAUUUGAAAACAAACGUAUCUGGUCUCAUUGCUGUGUUGUGAAUCUUGUAAUUAACGAUUUUUAGAAUUUAUUAGCCCAAUGGGGGAAGACCAGUAAAAUAUAGAUAUUGUUGUGUUGUGAACCUUGAGCAUAUAUUUAUUAGCGCGUGUUUGUGCGUGUAUGUGUAUGCAAUGUCAUGUCCAUUUGUGCUUGUGCACGCUUCUGAGCUCGCGAGUGCAUGCAUGCUCUCUCUACGCAUGAACACAUACGCAUGCACACGAAAAUACACAUUAAAGUAGUUUCUAUUCUUACUGCAAAAGGUUAUAUAUUUAUGUUUUGUUAUGAUAUGCCAAGAUAGUGUGAGUGUAGUUUAUAAACUCAAUUGUUCAUGUGCCCAAGACCUAUUCUUUUUUCGGCUUCUUGGUUACAGCUCAAAAAUGAAGAAGCAGACAAAAUUUUUGAGGUUGAACAGAAGUAUGUAGACAUAAGAAGAGCUAUAUACAAGCGGCGGAAUGAGAUCAUCAGAUCUAUUCCUGACUUUUGGUUAACUGCAGUAUGUGCUUAAAACAUGUUCGUGUCGAUGUCUUUGAUAAGGAGAACACUCAUGCGAUUUAUUUCCUGGAUUAUCCCUCUGGACAGUUUCUGAACCAUCCGUUAGUUUGUGAUCUUCUCACUGAUGAUGACCAAAAGGUAUGAAUCCAUUACCGAGCAAUUGCAUGUACAGUUUCAGUCUGACUAUAUCUAUUUCUUUUUUUUCUUUUCUUUGUUUGAUAUUGUACUUUUAGAUCCUAUUAUAUUUCUCUUUUUUUCCUUUUUUUUUAUUUUUUUGCUGAAUUGAUGUGAUGAUGAAUAUUCGAAAUUUUCGUUAUGCUGUAGAUCUUGAAGUACCUGAUUUUGUUUGAUGUGGAUGACUAUAAAGAUAAAAAAUCAGGCUAUUCCUACACUGGUGAGUUUUUCUUUUUAGAUACUCUUUCCCCAUAACUGGUCUAAUUCAACAGAUUCUAUUCCCUAACACUGUUUUCUUGAGUUGGUUUUUGUGAUGAUCAGAAAUUUUCCCCUAACCCAUAUUUUGAAGAUGCAUGCCUGAGAAAAACAUACAUAUUUCACGAUGACGGAAUAGUCACUAUAACUGGUGCAACAAUUAAAUGGAAGGAGGGGAUGGUAGGGGCAAUUUCUCAUAUUCAUUUUUGCGACCCUGGAAUAGACUUACUUGGUUCAAAUUCUUCUAAUUUUUCUUUGCUGCUGUCUGCAGUAUACAGGAAAUGAUGAUAUUCGUGAGAAGAAUGAUUGCAAAAAAGUCUCCUCUCAUGUAUAAAGGUUGAUUUCUGUGCCUGCUGAGUCGUGAAACCAUUUGUAUAAGUAGCUUUUCACAUCAUUCCACUUCCAGACUUCCAGUCUCUAGUUUGUUUGGCUUAUAUACACAUAUUUUGGUAAUAGUCAGUGAAAUGAAUGUACUAGUUUUAGAAUAUGCUCAGUUUAUGGUAUGUUGUAUUUAGCUCUCGUACUUAUCUACUAGUAGGAAAGAGAGUGAUUAUACAAGCUUUUAUCACUUACAAUCUUAUGCAAUAGUAUGCAUUAAUAAUUUCCAAAUCACCACGAGUUAAGCAUUGCUUUUCUGGGCAGCUAGUAUAUUAAGAUUAUAACCAAUAGAUGCAGUCAUUAAUGUGUAUUGUGUAUUAAAAUGCUUGCAUACAAUAUUUCAUUUAGUUAUCUACAUAUUGAAUUGAACUGUUGUACUACUGGUUUGCCAGUAUAAUUUAUUUUUUGUGGUUCACUUCAUCACGCAGCUUCUUUGGCUGGCUUAGUAGAACUCAGCAGCUAAAUGUCUUGGAGUGGAAUGACGAUAAGGUGAGAGUUGUUUGUUCUAAUUUCUCCAUUUCUUGCAGAAACGGUAGUUUCUACAUGAGCCUUCAGGUUUCAUUUUAAUUGAUUUUACGACAAAAUCGGUGAUGUCUCUUCUUCUCGAUCACAUAUUUCACAUGAGCAAUUACUAGUCCUAGUAAAAGUAGUAGAAAUAGGCUGUAUUAGUGUUUUUACCAACCACGAAUAUGCAGGUAGCAGUGAUUGUCAAGGAAAAUUUGUGGCCAAAUCCUUUGAAAUACUAUAAAAUGGUGAGUCUAGUUGCUUGGUUAGCAAUUCUGUGAUGGUUUCCAAUUCAUUUUUCUUCUCCUUCCUUUCUUUUUUUUUGCUUUUGGUUUGUGGCACUCUCCUGUUUCAACUCAUGUCAGGAAGCUGAGGAGGAUGUUGAACGAGAUUAAGAUGAUGCUAAUGUAGUGUUAAAGGACUCCGAUCACUACUUGAUCGGCUAAGUUGAUUCUCGGAAGGAAAUGCUGCUCCCAUGGCGAGGAUUAUUAUGAGCAUGAAGGUGGUUGAGAGGACGUUUGCCAACGACGGGCACUAGGUUUUCCCUUUCUUCUCUUCUCUCGGGUGAUAAUGUCAAUGAAGCCAAAUUUGCUAAUGAUGUUAUCCGUUUGAUUUACUUAUACUUCCCUUCGAACGGGAGGUACGAGCAUAAAUUCUCCGUGCCGUCAUGCCUUCUUUGUUCCUGUUUCUCUGGAACUGCUGUACAGUACAGCCUACUAUUGCAUUUUUGGUCGAUCUUUCAAGGACCAGUGAACAUGUAAUUCCCACUCUAAGAUUUUUGAAAUACACCACUCAACUAUUGGCUUUGGAAUGCUGCCUAGGCAACUAACGAGUUUUUGCUGUCAAAAGCAGGAAAUAAUAACUUGGAGAAUGCCAGACGAGCUCCAUUAGCAUAUCCAUAUGCCCCUGCCCCUGCCCCUGCCAGUGCCAGCUAAGGAAAAUUGUUGAUUGAUGCUGGCGACCAGCAAAAGCUUGAUCUUGAUUGGUUAUUGACUAGUAGAACGGAAGAUGAAGAGAUGGUACUGGUAGGCCACCUAACAACCUGACUAUUCAUACUAGUUUUACAGAGUUCAUAGGCUAAAAAUGAAACCAACAAGAUAAGAAAACCUUAAGGCAUUCAAGUUUGGUCAUUAUUGAAUAAUAUUAGCAAGGUUUUAUAUUUGUACUAUGCCACUAAAAUAAUACCGGUACAAUAUAGCUCCUGUAUGCAUGGCACAGCUCGGCAUCAUCUAUUUUUUGUAGUUAGUAAAUUAUUAUCUCAAUAAGAUAUAAAAAAAUUGAUAAAGAAGUAUAAUAAAUAAUUAGAAUAUAGUGACAGUAAAUAUAUAUAUUACAUCAUAACGUAUCGGCAUUCAUGCAUUUUUAUGAUCAUUAUGCCUUGACACAGCACACCAUACCAUGCUUGCAAGUUGUCAACACGGCCUCUGCCACGGCAUUUAAAUUUUUGGAUAUUAGCCACUAUGUUACCCAAUCGAAAUAAUACAUGAUUAACCUAACUCUGUAGGAAGAUAUAAACCAAUUAAUCUAUAAUUAUGUAAUUGAAACUAAAACGAUACUGCAUUAAGUUUUUAUAACAUAAGUGAAAAACAAUCUGAAUACGAUGAAGACUAAUAUCUUUACAGACUACAGUGUGUCUGAUGAAUAAAUACCGGGUGAACUUUCUAGACGGGUUGAUACGAAGACAAAUCCUCAUCUUCUAUUCAUUGUUUCUUGUCAUGGCGGUUCAGCUUCACCGUUACCGACCAGCUGUUCAAUCAACCAAAAAAAAAGACAUCAGUCCGAAAUACAACUAUAAUGUUAAAAAGGAUGCACUUCAUCUACUUUAGGGAUUUUUAAUACAAAUAUUUCUCAAGUUGUUAUAGAAAAAAUAUAAUAGAAGAGGAAAUGGUAACUGAGGGAUAAGAAAAAUAUAAUAACCAAGCAUAUUCAAUCUUCUUUCACUAGCAAAUCAACAAAGGGAAAGUGCACUAACUUGAAACCCAAGAAGGAAAGCUUGAUAAGAGCAAGAAAAUAUUUCACAGCUCCAAUAAGAUAUUAUGCUAUUGAUAAGGUCACAGGCAUGAUGCUCAAGUCAGUGUGAGAUAUGAUAUUGAGGGAGGAGAGAGCUGGAAAAGUUGUUACAAUGCUUGGCAUCAAAAGUAAAUAAGUUUAAAUUCCAUAUGUAGACCCUUAAUUUACCACAAAGAUAAUAUGAAAGAUAAGUGAUUUGACGAGUUUCCAUACCUCCUGCAACUAAAUGUUCAUAAACAAGAUUCAAUUGCUAGACCAAGACAAAACUAGUAAAAUGAAAACUUAAAUCAUCAAAAGCAUAACUGGUUAUGAUGGGAAAAGCAAAAGUUGGUCAUUAAAGAAGCCAGCAGACAUGAGUUCUCGAAGGUGCAAAGACAACUCAAUUGACAUUAUUAACCGCACAUAUAAUGCAAUUAAAAGCAUACUUAUUGAACAAGAUAAAUACAGGUCAAAGUCAGAGUUGCAAUACCAGAGAGCCAAUCUGCUCGUACGCUUCCAUUACUUUUGGAUCCUCCUCAUCUUCAUAACCAACUUGCAAUAUCCGCGGACCAUUUACAGACCAGAGAGCUCUUCUUCCAGCUUCCUAUGGGAAUAACAAUAAAAAAGGCAUAGCUCAAAUGAAUAGUACAGAUGAAACACAUGAUAUAUGAACUUUUUUUUUUUCUGAAAUAACUAGGGAAAUCAACAAUCAUAAUCCAUUUAUCGGAAAUUCGGAGCUAUCAGCCUAUAACCACACACAAAAAAAAAAAAAAAAAAAUCAACUCAAGUUGACUUGACUAGUAGAAUAAAAAUAAUAUAAUGCUGAAAUAGGAAGUUAGCAAUGUUAACUUCAUAGGGUUUGACCUGCAAGGAUAUCAAGUAAAUAGCUUCCAAUGCUUGUUGGCGAAUUUCUGGGUCGUCAGCUGUUUCCCGCUCAUGAGAAAGUGCAUUAGCAAGCUCAAGUGGCAUUUUCGAUCUAUCUUCUUCAUUGUAGAUCUGCAUUUAGAUAGCCAUAUCAAGAAAUAAGCUGACAACAGACAAAUGGAAAAGAACAGCAGAAAAGGAGAGGAACGGAGAAAAGCUGAUCAUACAUAGGCAUUGCUACUAAUCUAUAGGAGAAAUAAACAUCAUCAGUUGUGCAAAACCAUCCAUUAGCAAGAUUGGAGGACAAUGCUUGUGAUAACACAAAACAGAAACAAAACAGAAGCCUCGUAUGAAGCAAAUGUUGCCCGAAUAUAAAUACAGAAAAACUCAGAUUUCCACAGCAUACUCCACUAAAUAGUCUACUUGGAUCACCUUAUUGCCGGCUACAGGUAGAAGAAGAGCUGGCCAAAGAUACUCUGAUAUCAAAAGCAAAUUCUGUAGUUGAUUAUCAGCUUCAAAGCAACAAUUGCGAAUGGUGCCAGCUACCUAGAAGAUUCACAUAAGUAGCAGAAUUACAAGACAAAAGCACACAAAAAGCCAAAAGUUAAAUGCCCAAGAUAUCAAGAUAAUAAUUAGAAAAGGAAGCUAUAAACUCUCUUAUCAUUUUGAAAUAUCAUAGUACACAUUUAACAGAAAGGAAAAAAGAGAAAAAAAACCAAAGACUUAAUGUUCUUCCACUCUUCCAAGUGGAAUAAAGAAAAGCAUACAACUAACUUGCAAGCAAUUGGACUAUCACCAAGCAAUUCAUUCAUUUCACAGGCAAAAGGCCAAGGUGACUUUCUUUGAUGUAUACAUAUUUACAAAUAUUACAUAACGUAAAUAAAUAUCAUUUAGGUAGAAGAUUUUAUUGAGCUGAAGAAAAAAAUUUAUUACUAUUUGCCAUUCAUUAUGAAUAAAUUUGUAAGAUUGAUCUGUCAACAAAAUAAGUGAUUAUCGAAGCUAACCGUAAUGGUAUAAGUUUAGUAGAAAUGUUACUAUAUAAUGUGCUUACAUGAAAAGUAGGAUCGAAACAGUUUAAAUCGAUAAAAACGAGUGAUAUACAAAUACAUGAGUACUUUGCCAACAAUAUAAAACCUUACAAUUUAACAUUAUACCUCAACAAAAAAAAUGUUUAAUCAAGUUAGGAAACCAGUGAGUAAAUUCUGCAAAACAAAUUAAGUGUAGAUGAUAAUGACUGCAAAUCUACAUUGUUUUACAAGAGGUAUGCAAAGGUUGUAAUGCAUAUAGAUUUCAAUGGUAAAUAGACGAGACCAAAUUAUCUCUGUUCAUGCGGAAGACCACUAAUCUUCAUCAUUCUAACUCAGGGUCACAAAGUUUGUAAUCAUAUGGAUACCGUUGCUAAAUGGAUUAUAUAGAGUCAUCCUUUGCUCAUACCCCUUUCUUUCUCAGUGGAUUUGUGGAAUCAAAUUGAUGGAUGACCUGCUUCAGAAGACCGCGCCUAGGUUCCAAUAGAAUCUUCCUUCCGGCUUCCACCUUUGAGAUGUUUACUAGUAUUGAAGCUACAUGUUCGAAGGUAUCAUCUGCAAGUGAGGUGAGUAACAACUCAUCAACAUCAUCAGAGAUAAACUUGAACUAGCAGUGAAGGAAAGCUGUAAAGCAAGUGAAUAGAAGAAACUGAACCUGCCGAUUCGCGAGAAGAUGACCUACAGAACGAUCUAACAAGCUUCGCAACAUUCAGACCUUCCACCUUAUCAUCUCCAAUCUGAACAGAAUUGAUUACAGAUAGAGUUUAUUUUAGUUCAAUAGAAUUACAUCUAAACGGCAUGGUGUGUGCGAAAGAAACUACUAUAUAUAACUGAUUAUAAUUUGUUCCUGUUUUAGUAAGUAUUUGAGGUAGUGAUUUUGAAAAUUACAAAAAAGAAUGCACAAUAUAAGGGCUAAAAACUGCACAUUUCAUCACACCAAUUACUUACGAAUGACAACUAUUCAACUCAACUUACACACUCCCAAUUCUCUGCUCAUCGUAAACAUAAAAAAUAUAUCCAUGAAAAUGCUUACUCCUACUAUCAUUACUACUUCAACCAUCGCAAACAAUUCUAUCCCACUAAUGCCAAAUAGAAGAAAUAAUACAGGAAUUUAACUCAACAGUGACAAGUGAUCACCCCGACCAUAGCCAAUAUACUAUUGGGUGCUUUUGGUAGAGGAAGGAAUCAAGGAUCGCACCUGGAGGAGGGCGGCGAUGCCGGAUUCGACCUGGGUGAGAUUAGUGAGGAGCAUGACGAGGCCGCGGGCGAGGGCGGGGUGGUCGGGGUGCUUGUAGAGAACAUCAAUGGCGGUGGCGACGGAGCCGAGGGAGACGAGCUUGGCGGCGAGGUCGGCGUCCUGGGAGAGGUUGACGAGGGCCUCGGCGGCUGCGGCGGCGGUCUCCGGCGGGUCGCGGAGGAGGGGGAGGAGGCGGGGGAGGGCGACGUUGGAGUACGCGGUGAGAGAGCGGAGGCCCUCGUCGGAGCCCGUGAGGCCGCGAACGAUGUCCACCGCCGCAUUCUUAACCUAGAAUUGGCGACGAAGAAGGGUUAGAGGCGAGAGAGAGAGAGAGAGAGAGAGAGAGAGAGAGUGGGAACGAGUGGGGAGGAGAAGGGGGGGAGUGGGAACGAGUGGGGAGGAGAAGGGGGUUUACCUGGGGAGAAGGGGAGGAGAGAAACCCUAGGAGCUCUUCGAGCUCGUUCGCCAUGAGAACGAUGAUGAGGCAGCGCAGCGAGAGCGGAGUGUCGAAGGAAGAGACGAAGGUGGCUCGGGAGGCUGAAUACAGGACGUAGUAAUAAUUGUUGGAUUUUGUGGUCCGAGUGGAUCCAAUUUGGGCCUAGUUUAUUUAGACCCUUUUUUUUGAAAAAUAAUUUUUUAAAAAUAUUGUUUUUUUAUUUUUUUAUUUUUUAAAAAAUUGAAAAAUAAAACUAAGACAUUUUUAUGAAAUCUAAAAAUAACUUUUCUAGGAGCACCUCAUUUCUUGAGAACCGAAAUGUAGAAAAAUAUAUUUUCAACCAGUAAAUUAUUCUAGUACAUUCUUGGAGAAACCAGCACACGCCCUUAAUAAGGUUCAUUAUAUGCUAAUGAACAUAAUAAUUUCAUGGAUGUGCUCAACCUUCUAUAGUAUAUGUGCUCGACCAUCGACGAGUGUACUAGGACAGAGCGGUUACCGAAACAGAACCAUUUUGUAAAUCACUGUAUGAAUGUUAAGACAUGCUAUACAAGCAGCUUUGCCUUCGCAAGCUAACUACCAACACCAGCAGCGCCAAAAUAAAUAUGGUAGUAAAGAUAAUUCCACAUACACAACCAUCAACUACUACUUGUAUCUGGACAAACUACAUCAGUUGGCAACACUAUCCAAAUGACAAACAAACAACUCCGCAUCUGUGUAGGACUAAAGGAGAAGAAAGAAAAGGGGUAGCACUUUUGUUGGUCUUUCAAAGGUCACAGUUACCUCCCUCUGCGGGAAUUUAGAUUGAGUCCUAUAGCUGGUUUCUCCUCCUUGUAAGGUUGAGUGGACGCAUCAGUAAUGCUCGGUAGUCUCUGAACACUCCCCUUGCCUCUUCUGGCGUUAGGACCUAUUUCCUCUAUCAUGUACUUCCACCCGUCUAUGGGCCGCCUUCGACUAAAUAUGUGCGUCCUGAUAAAGCUAGCAAUCUGCUUUUGCAAUUCAAAAACACCAAUUAGAUAUGACGGGAACUGUCGAAGUAUCAAUGAAAUAAUUAUGUUUUGUAGAUUAGGUUGAGGUGAAGAACAUGUAUAAACCAUAUAUAGAAAGGAAAAGAGAGGUGAUUGAAUUUGGUUGGAGGAUUUUGGGUUUUAAGGGGGUGUUUAAAGUGUGGUUGCACCUGGAAUUUACUGAAAGCAAUUCGGCGCUCAAAUUCUUGGAGAAGAAUGUCCUCUUCUCUUUGUGUUAUUUCCCAUAUGUUACCAUCUUGAUUCUUGGAUGUUGUCUCCCAUCCGUCGGGAUUGGUUUUGAACUCCGUCAUGUUAGGAAUCUUUGAAUCACCCAGUUCCAUGUUGCCCGAGUCAAAGAUUCUGCAUUUAUAAAUUACAAGGCUUAAAAUAUAUCAGCUCGCAAUAGAAAAAUUGAUGAAAAACACCUAAUUGAUAUCAGGCCUAGCAACAACAAUCUUGCAGCUUAUUUUUUGCGGAAGGUCACCUCUAGGUGCACCCCUGCACUGCUUCACCGAGAGUUUGGAACUGGUACCGCCCCUUUUCCUCACGUGUAAUAAUAUCAUAUAAACAUAACAUUUUUUCCUUUAGAGUUGGGUUUAGGGUUGCUCUUAUGCAUUUCUCUGCCUUGUUCUUCAAGAACUGUCCCUAUUUGUUUUCAUUUCCUAAUUGAUUCGAGCUUAUAGACUGUCCAACAUCAUAAACGUCCCAACACUCUCAUAAAGAGUUUAUUCGUCAUCCAGCUUGAGCUAAUUUCACCUUCUUUAGAACUCCACAAGCAACAGCAAGGCCUGGUAUUCUCACGCCGUCCUUGUAACGAGUUGAGAUGAUUUAAGAAAUCUCAUAAGGAUUACGAAUCACAAUGCAUUAUUUCAUUCUAGUUAAUAAACUUACUACAUAGAUGUACUCCAUCAGACAACUGCAGAACAAGCAUACUCCAUGUUCAGCAUUAUCCAAUGAGGAAUACCCAUUCUACGUAAAGCUGGUUAUAUUUGACAUUAAAACAGAGAAUUCAGAGCAUCUGUGCUACAACUUAACAGAUCAUUUCAAUCUGCAACUUCAGUUAAGUAAAUACUAUUUUCAUGAAACAUACUAUCCAGCAACUAAUGUUUUCUAAUCUUCUUCUUCCAGAGGAAAUAAUCUUAGAAGCAUAAUAAGGAUUCACAAGUUUUAGGAGCAUCCGCUCAUGUGUUCUGCGAAAACCUAGCAAUCUCAAUCUCAAUAUAUAUAUUGGCACAAUGUGAGCUCAGCAAGACAUUAGAUUUGAGCAACUUAUUUCUACGUAAAUCAAACUUUUACCCGGGUGAAGUUCUACUCACUGGUGAGGCUAGUGUAAGCAUGAUUACUAACAUGAAUCAAUCAUCUAAACAAUGGAUUGUAAACAGAAAACGACUGUACUGCGCUAGUCUACAUGACAUACUCUAUGUUCCUUUUCGCAAGCAUUACCAAAUAUAGAGCUGCUACAUACAUACAAUGAUAUGGCACUUGUAAAUCAUUUGCAAAAACUAAAUAUGAAUAAUCGCAGCAUCCACCUUCAAAUAUCAAGCCAAUUUUCUAGCUAAAACAACCAAGCAAUAUUGGGAAUAAUUAUCAUAAAGGAAAGAUACGGCGAUUACUCCAUGGAAGGUAAACAUACUCUGAGCAGGAGUCGAGAAGGCGAUCGAUGUCGUCCCCCGCACCGGAGCCUCCGAGCUUGGCCUCCUCCAUCUUCUCAAUCUCCUUCAUCCAGAGCCCCGCGUGGAUCCUCUGCUUCCGGACGCGGUAAUCGUCCGCCGCAGCGCUCUUGGCGCCGCUACCCGCCGCAUCCGCCACCGCCGGAGAAUGAUCGGCGCUCUGAUCGGUCCCCUGCUGUAGUUUCCUCGCGGCCCUCCGCUCGUUCCAGCGCUCGUCCAUCUCCGCCACGAAGGCCUUGGUGUCGGCGUCCAUGUCGGCGGGGGCGGCGGCGGCGGCGGCGUCGGAAGACUCCCAUGGCGCGCGGUCCCUGGACGAGGGGUCCUCCGGGAGCCACGCCAUCUCCCACGCAUCGUUCCACUCGUCGUCCCCGGUGGCAGAGAAGGAGGAGGAGGAGGAGGAGGAAGGAGAUCGAAUGGAGUGAGCCCUUCGAAAGAGAAGUAGUACGUGCCCUAGGGUUUCCGUGCGAUUGUACGAGGGGAUUAUAGAGAUCGAAGGGAAGGAGGAAGAGGAGAGGAGGAGGCGUUUGAGGGAGCGCAUGGUGUGUGUUCGACGAAAUGUGUGAGAGGAGACCGCGGUUACGGCCUUUUUUCUGAUUCGUCGUGUUGGGAUAUUCAGAGAGAGUACUCCUGAAAUUGGCGCGCUUUGGGCCGGUCCACCAAGGGUCAAAGCCCGAUCCAUUUAAGCUCUAUACGAGCUUGCGACCUGAAACCGUUUAAGCCGCAAAGUUUGGGCCCAACCGAGCGAGCCUACACAUGAUCCUAUUGGGCUUUUUUAGAGAAAUUGUUCGCUGCAACGGGUGUGUGAUUACAUCUCAUACACCGGACUAUUCAAAUCUAAUUUUAUAAUCAAAAUCUAACUUAUUUUAUAUGUUACGUAGCAUUUUAAGUUACUGUACAUUGGAAAAUAUAAAUUUUUAUUUUUAAAUAUUCUAUCUAUAUGAUUAGACUUUUAUUUGUUAAUAUAUCUGUGUAUUAAAGUACGAAUACAUGCAGGACGACUAAUUCUCAUCCUAAUACGAAUCCAUACUAGUCCAAUAACCGUGUAAAUGGGCCGGCCUACUUAGACAACCUAAGCACCCAUCCACUUCUAGGGUUUUGUCGCAGUAUAAAAGUGCCUCUCCCAUUGCGCGUUGCGUCUUCGACGAUCUCCAUUUCUCCUCUCCAAACGCGAGAGCGGCGAGGGGGAAGAGCACCAGCCAUGGUUCACGUCAGUUUCUACCGCAAUUGUAAGCCCUAAUUUCCUCCUCUCUACUCUUCCGAUCUCGGAUCGCUCUGUGUACUUCUACUUCGUUGUUCGAUCGAUCGAUCGAUCGAUCUCUCUCGUUAUAGUAGUAGUACUCGAUUUCCGAUCGAUCGGGGAUCUUAUCCUUGUUUGGAAACCCUAGCUCACGAUACGAAGUAAUUUGCAGAUGGGAAGACGUUCAAGAAGCCACGCCGCCCCUACGAGAAGGAGCGGCUCGAUGCCGAGCUCAAGCUGGUGGGGGAGUACGGGCUCCGAUGCAAGAGGGAGCUGUGGAGAGUUCAGUACGCUUUGAGCCGGAUCCGGAACGCGGCGAGGGAGCUCCUCACUCUGGAUGAGAAGAACCCUCGCCGGAUCUUCGAGGGAGAGGCUCUUCUUCGCCGGAUGAAUCGAUACGGCCUGCUUGGCGAGAAUCAGAACAAGCUCGAUUACGUCCUCGCCCUUACGGUCGAGAACUUCCUCGAGCGGCGGCUUCAGACCAUCGUCUUCAAGACCGGGAUGGCCAAGUCCAUCCACCAUGCCAGGGUCCUAAUCAGGCAACGCCACAUCAGGUAUUACACUGUGUUUUUUCCUAAUACUUUGCCCUUACUUUGUUAAAUUUUGUGCUGCUUAUACUGUAACGUUCGAGAUAUAGCUUAUAACACUAGAAAGAGCAAAUGAAUAGAACUUAUAGUGAAUUAUUGGGCUGUUUUGUUGUUUAUAGCAUUGAAGUGUUCAUUUGAUUGUAAUAGGUGUGUCUUAUUUGUAUAGGUUGGUUUUUGGGCCUUUUGAUUUGAAGCUUUGCUUAAUUAACUUGUAUACCAAUUUGUAUUUGGCGAGUUAUCAGGCUCUGCCCUGGCCCUUGAGACAAAGUUCGGUAGAACUUUUGUCAGUUGCAUCUUGUCGGAAGUGUUCUAUUAUUGACAUUGUUAACAUAAAAGUUUCACGUAUUGGAUCCCUGUUUUCUCAAUGCAGAGAUGUUUUCGCACCCGUGAUGCUAAAUAAGAAUGAUUGUAAAUACUUAUAUUAUGACUUCACCCUGUUAACUGCCUACUUGGCCUUAUUAAGUGUAUUAUUUAAGAGCCAAGUCCUAUUGUACUGAUGUAAGCUGGUACUGUUAUAGGAAAGAUAUCAACCUCACAUGUUCUGCUCUAAGAUGCUUUUGUGCUUAUAUGCAUGCAAAAUCUUCUAACCUCUUGGAUUUUUUAUAGUAUCUAUGGCUUCUAUCUGAUUUUCAGUUAAUAUUUUAGAUUAUAUUUCUUUUUGUCUAAACUUUUACUGUACUGUAUAUGUGAGAUGAUGGCGGCCCUCAAAUCUCAAAUCUUAUGAUAAUGCUGUGGAAGUUAACUUCAAUAUAUCAUAAUGCUUACAUUUCUAUUGAGAAGUGUUUCAUUUAUGCUCCUUUUCCUGGCACUAUGAGGAAUAAAAUUAAAUGAACCAUGGAGGUCAGAAGACUAAUGACAUCAAAUCUAAAGGCCUUUUAUGUUCUGAGUGCCUAAUUUCACGUCUUGUGUUUCAAUGUUCUAAUUUGUAUUUUUUUAUUUGUAUAUUUGGUAAGUUCUUUCUAAAAGUAGAUCUUCUUUCUAUUUAAUCUUUUGAUAUUGACAACACUUUUUGUAUAAUUGUAGGUGGGGUUCUGUGUGUCAAUGUUUUCUUUCUAGUCUUUUUUGUUUGUUUAUUUGGUAAUUUUUUGCUAGAAGUAGGUGUUUUUCUAUUGAUCUUCUGAUAUGCAACUAUCUUUGAUAACUUGGGGUUUACUUUGAAAUUGGUGAUAUAUUUCUGUUAUUUGAGUCUAUAUAGUUCGGCAGUGGGUAGUCUUACUUGACUAUAAACUAAAAUAAGCCAAUUUGUAUCAAUUUUCAUUGCUUUCAGACGAGAUGCUAUAAAUAAUUAGUAGGCCUAUCAUUUCUUGCAAGACAUUUGGAGGCUGCUCAAUGAUCUAAUGCUACGUAAGUUCAAAUUGGAGUUGAUCUAUUUAAUAAUACCUUCCAUUGUUACUUUCUCACACAUUGUCUUCUCAAGCACAUAGAUGCUGAAGUUUGACUAUAUCAUGAUAUAUAUUAUUAGAUUGGGUUAAUUUCUUCAAUGCCCUUCUAACAGGGUGUAGAUUCCAUUCCAAUGAUAUCUAUAGGACCCUACAAUAUAUUUCCAGAUUGCUAUUGUUGUCAUAGGGCUCUCACUGGCAGUUUCAUCUUUUGUCUUCAAGCCAGUAUGGCCCCAGAAAGCAUAAAAAAGAUUCAUUUAAAUAGGAUGUCUGAGUCAAUCCGUAUUUGGCAUAUUGGUACCCAAAAGUGUGUCCUAUAUAUCUCAAAUGUCAUGAUUGUUUCAUACUAGUAUACAAAAAGUGAUGCACAAUUAUCUCAAAUGACAUGAAAUGAAAAUGAGUGUUUCGCAUAUAAUCUUAAACAGCACGAUCCUCUAUUAAUAAUGUUUGCAUUUGUCUUCCUUUAGCUGACUUAGAUGAAAUUGCUCUAAUCAUUUUCUGUUAAAACUAUAGAAACUGAAGCAGCCUCUGAUCCUAAAUGGGGAACAAAGGUUCAUUCAACCAUUAUCGGUUAUAGAGUUUGAACAAUUUUUUGCCAGCUUACUGGUAGUCCCACGCUCCCAACCAUUUGUCUGGAAGAGUCCAUUAUCGGUUAUAGAGUUUGAACAAUUUUUUGCCAGCUUUCUGUAGUCCCACGCUCCCAACCAUUUGUCUGGAAGAGUCCAUUAUUGGUUUUAGAGUUUGAACAAAUUUUUGCCACUUACUGGUAGUCCCACACUCCCAACCAUUUGUCUGGAAGAGCUUUUUUAUUUAUGCUUGUGAACUAGCAACUGUAUUUGAGCAUCUCUACUAAUGCCUUAUUAGAUUCCUUACUGCAAUUUCUAUUCCAUUUAGUUUUAUUUUUCCCGUUGCCUUUUCUGUUAGUGCCACACUUUGAUUUACUUGCCAACUCAAAGAUGAGCUACUUGUAUACGGCUCCUAAGUUCUGUUUCUACCUUUUUUUUAUUUAAAUUUCAUUUUGUUGAAAUUACUCAUGAAACUCUUUUUGCAGAGUUGGGCGGCAGUUGGUUAACAUUCCCUCAUUCAUGGUGAGGGUAGAUUCUGAGAAGCACAUCGACUUCUCCCUCACGAGUCCGUUUGGCGGAGGUCGCCCUGGAAGAGUGAAGAGAAAGAACAUGAAGAAUGCGGCAAAGAAGGCAGCUGGCGGUGACGGUGAUGAGGAGGAUGAAGAAUGAGCAAAUCAUGCCUUAGAAGGUUCUGCUGUGUCUUUUUUGCCUUGUAAGACUUAAAUUUGCUAGCUAAGAAUGUGGUAUGUUAUCCUCCCAAAUCUAUAAGAGUCAUUUCACAUUGCGCUUACUGGAGCUAUAUAAGUGAGGCAGGGUUUUUUUGUUUUAUUACUAUAUAAAAUAUGACUGUAUAUGGAGACUGAUUUCUAUGCCUUUUUUUAGAUGCUGGACUUUUGUAAUCUUGUGCUGUGUUGGCCUUCACAUUCUAUCUAUUGAUUGGUGAAUCAGGCGAACUUAUUGACGAGCAUAUCUUGAGAAAACUGUUUGUUGAAUUAAUAAUGAUACUGUGGAUGCGACGUUUGGGUGGUGAAAGGAGCUUUUCUGCAGAAGCUCUCUUGUUUGUGUGGGAGCGAAGGUUUAUCGAAUACUUUUGGAAGUGCGAACGUUGAUCCUGAUGUCGGGUACAAUACGUGCUAGGGGCUUACUUGUUGUCAAGCAGUUUCUAUCUGAUCUAAAAUUGUUCGUCUCUCUCGAGCACACGAGACUCGAUCUGUGCACUCCGGUCUCCGUGCAGUUCCAGUUUCUGCAUCUGCUGUUGCCUCUGCUCCACCUGAUUCAUUUUUGAGAAUCAACCAUUUUCAUUUUCAUUUUCAUUAUCCACUAUCCACUAUGACCAUUCAACUCGCUACAGCUCGGAUUUUGAUGAAAAUUCAUGGUAUGGUUCCACGUAUGUUUUGUAACUUGGACAAAGCUCUCCUGGAUAAGCUCCACCAUCCACCUUUGGAUUUCGAUAACAAAAUUGCCAAAUUGUUGGACGGUGGAUCUCACACCCCCGCGUCCGAGACACUUGGGGGGUAGCCUAUCCGUCAGGAUAGCAUCAAGUGGUCCAGAGUGUGAGGACCAUCUUAUCAGGGUGGGCACCAACCAAACCAACAGGAUCGUAGAUCCGCUUUAAUUAUCGUGCUCCCCAGAUGCUGACGUGCCUAGUACUACCUCACGUAACUCACCGCCCGCUGGCCGUCGGAUCGCCUGAUCUGAUUGUGAUGUAAAUACACGCAGGGGCCGACAUACAGCAAAAUGAUUGCUCCCUCUGUCUUGCUCCAAGAACGGCGUAUGAUCAAAAUAAAUUAUUCAGUAAUAAUUUAUACAAUACUAUAAGAUUAUUUCAUUGCUGGUUUAUUUAGUCUCUUGUGAGGUUGGACAAAUAUGAUAAACUAUAAUCAGUCGUCGAUGUUUUAUUCGUACUCACCUAUCAUUGCUGCGCAUUCUCUCUAAGUAAUCAAAAGCUGUUCCAUGUUGAUCGAUAUAUUAAUGCAUUCAAACAAGUCCUUAAAAGGGCAUUUGGUUCGACGCAUUUAAUUAUAUAGAAAAUUAAAGAAUGAGAGAAUAGUGACUUGGAGGCGUCGAGGAUCAUAAAGAUCCUAAUUGGAUGCCUAAUCCAAUGUUCUGCGACACCACGCUUUCAAGUAAUUAUUAUUGAUUCUCUGCCAAAAACACUCUCUUAUUUUUAUUCUAUGAAAUCAGUACCGGAUGUCAAAUGAGUGCUCAAACUAUUUCUCACAACACGAAGAUCGUGGAGAGUUCGUCUCCUCUUUUUAUGAAUAUUUAAGGUCUGGGAAUGAGUUAAGCGUGUUCCGUUUCUUGCCGACUGAGUCGCUUUUUCCUUUUUUCAGGUUUAUCUUCGUAUUAUAUAAACCAUUGAUCACUUCUUAAAAUCUGAGAUGUUCCUGCUUUUUUUGAGAUAAAGGGAUUAUGAGUGUUUUACUUCGAGACAAAAAGUUUGACCAUAUAUAAUAUAGUGGCAACUCGAUCUCCUGCUUAGAGAAAAGUGCUUAUCCAUUUUUUAGAUUAAUUGGUCCUUGUUAAUUUCGAAUACUAGUCCUCUGAAUUAUAUUGUUAAAUCGAUCUUUUAAUAAAACUCUAAGUAGGUGCAACUUUUCAAUCUUUCUUGUUGGAAGAAUAAAAAAGAAAAAAAAAAUCUUAAUUGGUACAUUCUAAUAGAUAGAUUUCUGAGUAAGUUGGUAUUUGAAAUGAGAGUUUUUUGUACAAUGUACAACAUACUGUUUCAUUACAGCUUUUGACAGUUUUUCAUUGAAAUCGAAAGUAGAAAUUUCGAAUAGAAACCUUAGCUUGUUUGCGAGUCAAUGUCUACCCAUUUUGGCUUUUUGUUUAAUAGUUCAAAUGUUUUUUUUUUUUUUUUUGGAGAGAAAAAUGUAUCAUGUUACCCGCUUCGUUUGUUCUUUUUAGAAAUAAACUUAGUCAGAAUAUGAAUCAACUAGAAUUUAAACUUAAAACUUCGAGUACCAAUCACCACGCCCUUUGCCACUUAAUAGUUCAAAUGUUUAGAUUUGUUUUUGUAUGGUGAAAUUUGUUCAAAUUAGAUAAGCCAGCCUCUGGACAUAAAUUAUUAUUUUUAGAAAUAGAAGGUUGAUGCGACGUGGUAUGUGAAUAAGACAAUGAAGUGUAUAGAUCAUAAACCAACAAUUAGUAACGCCACCAAAUUGUUUCAGCCUAAUUAGCUAGUAGUGGUUGAUUGUCAUGGACAAAACAACCUAAGCCAUGCUAUAAAAAUGUACGAGGAAACUAGAGAAUCGACCUGCUGAAAAAGUACUCAGCGGCCUAGAUAAUACACAUUAAUUAUAUUUUACGCUAGUACACUUAAAACCAUAUUUAUAUAGUCAUUCUCCUAAACAAGCCCCUCGAACAUGGUAGCUUAUAAGCUAGUAGCCUAGCACUGGAAAAAAGAAAGAAAACAAACAAGCAGCUAUAACUUAAAACAUUAUUAAACUCGACUUUUUAGGAUCUAAGAAGGCUCCGAAUGAUCUCCGCUUGCGGGCUGUUGUCGUCCAUCGUCGCCAUUAGGCCAGAAAGGCGGUCGCUGAGGUCGUCCACCUCGCGGUGCAAGCUCUUUAUGUAGCUGCAUGUCUCCUUUAGUAGCUUCGAAGCCGAUGCCUAUUUUCAUAGCAAAGUUUAUAUAAGAACAAAAUAUGAUCGAUAUAAUUAGUACGUCAGCCAUUUGUAGUUCCACAGUCUGAAUUAGUUCAUAUUUAUUAUUUUUUUUAAAAAAAAAGAGUAUAGUUUGAUCUUUGAGAGAAGUAUGUGAUUAUGUUGAAAGUUUUUGACGAAUCAAAAGAAGGAAAAUUAAGAAUGCAAAGAACAAUAACAACAACGACAAAGAUAGAGAGGCCGCUUACCCUGUCAAUGUUCCUACGACGGGACUCGGGGAGAAGCGACUGGAGCUUCGAGAUGAGCUCAUUGAUCUCGUCGUCGGUGAUCCUGCUCCUCCCGCGGCUCGACAUCACGAUCUCUACGUAAAACUCAACAAGCUAGUACUCCUCUCUCUCUCUCUCUCUCUCUCUCUCUCUCUGCUACUAAAGUACAAUAGGGAGAUAAGGAGGGAAAAAGGUGAGAGGGAUUGAAAGGGAGAGGGGGAUUUUAUAUAUAAAAACUUAUAGAGAGAAAGAGAGAAGCAGAGAGUAGCAAGAGAGGUGUAGCAUGGGAAGGGCUCUAAUGAGGCAAAGUCCCAAGGAAUGUGUAUAUUGAGAGGGUGGUGGCCCAUUCAUGUAACAUGCCCCCCUAUUGACACUUUAGUGGGCCCAUCUUGUUCAUGUGGGCCAUGGGCUUGUUGAGGCGCAAGUGCCCCACCCUUCACAUGCUAAAUUGUCCCUCUUGUUUUUUAAGGAACUAGGGGGGGAAGUAGUUACCCUUAACAAAGUAGCUUGUGUGGCUAUUGUUCUUCCCUACUCUUCAAUUGUACAUAGAAGUCUAGAAGAUGCCUUGUGUUUCUUGCUAUUUAGUAUGCGUGGGGCUUUGUUUGUCCUUGAUAUGGUCUUGUCAUUGCAAAGCUAGUCUUUUCUCGGCGGACGUUAUGUUGUAAGUUGUUCAACAAGUUUUAAAAGUACAAUCGAUAAAAUAAAUUUUACAUACAGUCUGAAAAGUUAAACUAUUAUCUUUAAAACAAAGAACUUCUAAAGAUAUCUAUAAUAUUACUCCUUCCUAGCUAAUAAAGUUUUUUUUUUUUUCUUUAACCUUUGGUUUAUCUAUAAAGGAUGAGUACCAAUAGUCCCUUUUUUUUUUUAUCUUUAAAACAAGUAAGGUAUAUAAUCCCUGGAGAUGGCCCAUGGAUCACGCGCACUCGCCCCCUAUACCGCAACACAAGGUGGCCCAUGGACCGGCUCGCGAUCCAUGACCGGUCGACGACCUGAGUCUCCGGCAGUACCAAGUAGGCGCGGCGCGUUGGCCAUGUGGAGGCCCUAGGGGGCAUCCACGUGAUGCGGUGGCCCACGAUGGCAACAGGCUUAUAAUCGGUGGCCCACAGGCCCACAGGCCCAGAGGCCCACAGGCCCACCACUGAAAUUAAUACUUGGCUUGAGAUCAAUGUAUCUGAGCAAUUAAUUUGUGGAGGUUGAGGUGGGACUUAUUUGAGAGGAGGUGGUUUAAUGGCUGUGUAAGUGGGGUGGAGUUAUUACCCCUCCCUAUUGCCAUAUAGUAGGCCCCAACUAGAAUUUGCGGACUACUCGUCAAGAAAGACCUACUGGGACUUAAAAGUAUGUCCUUUCAACAAAGAGUGUUACUAGAGAUACUUUUAGAAACCGCUAAUAUACCAGCAGUUACAUUUUCACAUAUCCGUUUUGAAAGAAUAAAAUUUUAAUGGAGAGCUCACAAAAAAGAUAGGUGUGAUUGGUGUGAGUUGUUAGAUUAUACUCAAGCUGUAUUAAGAUUCGUACAGAGAUUGCAAGCUGAUGCGAAGAUUUAAUACACCCCGUUCGCCAUGAGCACCCAAAGCAUUGCCGUUAACAGAGGGUUGGCUCAUAUAAUUAAGGAGCUAAUUGCAUGGUAGUUUAAUUAAAUAAUUUACUAUACAUUUGUCUCAUUGGAAUUAUUUUACAUAGGAUUACUUGAAAAGGGUGGUAGGUUAUUCUCUAUUAUAGUGGCUAUGAGAUAGACAUAUGAAGAAAGGGGGACAUCGCAUUAAAGGCCUCUUGAGGCAGGAGAUAAAAGCAGAGGUUUUAAUUUCCACCUGAUCAUAUAUAGUAUAUAUUCAUCACCUGAAAACCUUACUACUACUAUUCAAGAAUUCACAUGCUUGAGUUUCUGCUUCCAAAAGCUUCUUAUAAGGCAAUUGUGAACUGACACGCAUUUAAUGUGUGUCUGGGAGAGAGAGAGAGAGAGAGAGAGAGAGAGAGUGUACGUACCCAGUAUCCUGUAAAAAAAGAGAGUACUUGAGGAGGGAUCCAGCUUAAUUAUUUAGACUUUGUUUGGUUGGAGUAUAAAUAAAAACUAAUUAUUAUAAAAAUAGAUAUAAGUAUGGAGAUAAAAAAAUAGCAUUUGAAUAAAAAUUGGGUUGAUUUCGGGGAUAAAAAAAUAGCGUUUGGAUAGAUAAUAUAGAAUAAGAAAAAUAGUGGAUAGUUAUAUAUAGAAAAUAAAGGUAUUGGUGGGAUAGUUAUACCAGCUUAUUUCAGGUAUCCGAGAACUACUAUUCUCGAACCCUUAUUCCUAAUCCAAAUAGUGCCUUAGAGCAUCUCGUGUCGAGGUUAAAAUGGUUACCUGUUGUGUAAAAAUGUUGACAGCUCAGUAGUGAUCGACCUUUCGAGCAUGCAAAGCAACACAGCAUAAAAAUAAAUAAAUUGUGUUACUAUAAAUUAUACGGAUAAUAUAUACAUAAAGUUUAUACAAAUGAAUCAUGAGAAUGUUGUGAAGGGACCAGAAGAUUUCUGGUGUUUAUACCACAAAAAUACCAUGCAUGUACAUUAAUUAGCUGGUGCUUCAUCUAUAUAUAAACGCCAAAACAAAAAAGAUCUCGUAGUAAUUAAAUUUCUUACAAAAUAAUUUUAGUGUUUAUUGAUGGAGUAGAUUGUUAACACAUUAUAUUCUCGUAUGAUGCACUUAAUUGACUUGACAUAGUAUUUAGAUUACCGAGACGUGCGAAUAAAUAUGAAUAUAAAAUUAAAACGAACUAUAGAACCGCUACGAAUGUAGGUACACAGCAUAAAUUAACUAUGCAAAUGAUUAGGACGUCAUUAUAAUAAGAGUGGCAGGACGACGACGACGACGACGACGACGACGACAAUAAUAACAACAAUAAUGAAGAUUUUUUGUUAAGAGUGUUAUGUGUAGCUGUGGAUCAGUAGCACAGUAGUAAAUAAUGGGGCAAAUAUGGAGAGGGCAUGCAUUGUGAGUUUGUGUACCUCAUCUGAGGCGAUGCUACGUUUCGAGAGUAACCUCGCAUGACCUGCCCCCCAACUUGGCCUAAGCCACACGUGGCACUGUCCCUCCCACGUUAAACCCCUAUUAGAUUUUUUUUUUUUUUUUUUUUUUACGUUUUUCUUUUUAAAAUAAAGUUAAUAAAUUUUUUUUUUACUAGGUGCAGAUCAUGAUCAUCAUGCUCAUUAAAUUUGGUUAUAAACGUUUCUCCAACAAUGACCAUAUUAGAAGUCGGGUUUAUUCUAUUCCGAAUUUAUCAACUCACUCAAAAAUUUCUUUUUUUUUUUUUCACCUUUUUCUGAAAGGUAGUACUAAUAAUUUUAUAUUUAUUGGGCUUGGAUCAUGUUCAUUAAAUUUACUCAUAAAUAAUUAUUGAGCAGUAACUAUUUUACUCAGUUAUGAUACCAUAACACCAGCUUCGAGUUUCUUUUGCAUAAAAUGCAUUGGUUGGCCCUGCACUUCCUGAAUGUUACACCUUAGUCCCUAUCACUUAAAAAAGUUCUCAAACUUCUCACAUAAGAAUUACAAUUUUUAUUAUAAAUUAACGUUUAAUCUUAAGUAAACCUAGACUAGCUAGCUUUUAUAGGUGAAGGUGUGAGACCAUCAUUUUGCAGUAGAAAUUAGAUGUUGGUUAUUUAUUAUUGACUAAAAUAGGUCUAAUUUUCUGACCCGGGACAAUAAGUUCGAAAGACUAAUUAAUAAGUUAAAUUGGGUGAGCCUAAUCAGUUGGGUGGGGCUGUGGUCCAAAAGACCUAAUGGUAAGAUGACCAACAAUAGACCUAAUGUCCAGAUGAAUUGAGUCAUCAGGUCGAAACCCAUGAGCAUUAUGGUUGAGCUCUUAAGUGCAAUUGGUGCGUCCUUUCUAUUAGCAUAUAUUUUUGAGAUAAUUGGUUAGUAUUUACGAUCCCAAGUGUUAUCAGAGUCAGCAACGCCGAUUCGAUUUUCACAUGCUACAUUAGCAGUGCAGGUACUGGGAGGGAGAUUGUUGGCUAUUUAUUUUAAGGUUAAAAUAAGUAAAACUUUCUGCCAUGUGAUAAUAGGCCCGGCCGGGAGACUAAUAAGUUGAGUUGAAUGAGUUUAAUUAGUUGAGUGGGGCUGUGGUUCAUAAAAGAUCUAACGGCAAGAGGCCUAACAAUAGACCUAACGUCCAUGUGGAUUGAGCCUUUAAGAGCGAUGGAUGCGUCUUUCUAUCGGCAUGUACGUUUGUGAUAGUUGGUUAUCUAUGUUUGACUCUUUUUUUUUCAUACGAAACUAAAUUAAACACUUUUUAAAAGCAACAGAUUAUCUCUAGUGUAAGUAAUAAAAAGUUUAAUACUGGAGGUAUUUAAUAUAAGUAUUAAAAAUAUCGUUCUGUGACAAUGUAAGUUUUGAAAAAUAAUUAUUUUAUAUAAUUUAAUACGACAUUAGAACAAAAAAUUUUAAAUUCGAGUUCUGAGGUUCAGACCAAGUUGUCUAGGCCACAAUGUUGGUGGGCCCAAAUUGCUCCUUGGUGGUGGGCCCGACAUCGGCCCAAAACUGUUAAAGGGUUUCCAACUGAAUCUGGCGGUGAGUUAGAUGACUGGUUAAGUCCUCGUGUCUCACGCCGGAAACUCGUGCAUGUAUGACAAUGACACACAACUGUUCUCAUUAUAGCAACUUAAUAAAUGUCCAGGUACAAUGUUUUAAAGAUAAUAUAAUAUUAAUAUUAAUUUAUAUAUAUAUAUAUAUAUAUAUAUAUAUUUGGCCAAUUUGUAAAAAAAAAUUCACAAAUUUUGAGUUUUCGUAAAAUUAGAUCGUCUUUUUCGAUUUUGCAGUUUCGGUCUGAACUUUUAGCAAACUGAUUAAAAUACCCUUAUAUCUUUUUCUCUUCUCUUUUUUUUUUUUUUUUUCUCCCCCGCGCACCUCCUGCCCUUUACGCCCUUGCCUACCAUUUUCUUUUCUCUCUUACUCUUCUCCACCGCCUCCGCAGCUUUUUUCCUAGCGAAAAGAAAAGAACGUGAGAAAAAAAAAAAAGAGAAAAGGAAGUAUAAAGAUAUUUUGAUCAGUUUGCUGAAAAUACGGACCGAAUUUGUAAAAUCGAAAGAGACGGUUCAAUUUUGCAAAAGCUUAAAACUUGUGAAUUUUUUAUACAAAUUGGCCUAUAUAUAUUUAGUAGCUGUGGUUGACUACAAAAUAUAAAGAUGCUUUCCUCUAACCCGUUAUAAGCUGAGAUAAACCAUUAACAAAAACUUCUUAUGUUAGAGAGAAUUAGAAUACCGUUCUCUAACAUUAUAGAAUAAAAAAGAUUAAAAAUUAAUUUUACUUGUCAUAUAUAGAUGUAAACAUCUAAUUUUUAUGGUAUAACCAUAAGUACUCUUUAUUAUAAAUUUUAAAUACUGUGCGUUUAUACAACACCUAAAAUAUUUGGGAUGUAUUUGUAAGAAGUUAGUUUCUAAAGAAUAUAAAUACAAAAGGUUGCCCAGAAGAGUCAAGUGAUCAAAUCUUAAAUCAAAAUUUCAAAUGGCCACAUUGUCGUAAUUUCACUUCAUGCAGUUUAUACAAGUUUUGUGGGUACAUAAUUUUUAGAUUAUUUCUUAUCAAACGGAUCUUGUUAUUAUUUAUAUAUUAUUGUACCGAGAACUGGUCUAAUCACUCUCAUAGGUCACCAUUGCUGGUGUGGUCAUUCUCUCACGUGCAAAUUUUGACGCAUACGUGCGUAUAUAUACAUAUACAUAUACAUAUAUACAUGACGUAUAUAUAUUCUGAAAACAUAAAUUCAGUACGUAUACGUACCCACCUUAUUAUAGAGAUCUCAUGCUGAGAAAAUAAUAAUAGAAAAAUACUUCUUGUACAGCUAAAAAGGGGUUGUAGAUCUUGCAGUAUCUCUCAUCCAAGGUUGAUAAAAAUCUAAAUAAAUUUUACUAAAAAUGAAAAAAAUUUGAUGUGACAAAUAAAGUAUUAAUAAUUUUGAAAUAAAGUGAGCGUAAAAUAUACACUCCACUUUGAAAUGUACAUAUAUGUUGUAAAUUUGAUGUAUUGUUACAGCAAUGCCAUCACAUUUGUUGUAGUCAUCCGGUCAAUGGUGGUACAUUAUUAUUUGACAUAUUAACCCGGUAAAUAUUUUUGUUGAAUAUAAAUGUUAAAAUAUUCUUAUUUAGCAAAUUAAUAUUUUUGAGUAGGAUGAUUGUUUUAUAUAAUUUAACAUGAUAUCAUAUUAUAAGGUAUUGGGUUUGACUUUCGCAAGAUUUCUAGUCUUUUGAAAUACAACGGUUAUUCUAUAUAAUUGAACAUUUCAUUCUUUUAGAAUAUAAUGAUUGUUUUAUAUAAUUUAACAUUUCUCAUCAUCAACUCUUAUAUUAUUUCAUUAUUCUCACAUAUUUAAACAAGUUCCAGAACACCCUGAAACUUACAUAUGAGGUCAUAGUUAAUUAGUAGAAAGGUGUAAAUGGCAAAGAAAUUGAUAUAAUUAGUAAUGAGUAAGUUUUUAAAUUACAUAUACUUUGAGAGCUUGGGCAUUUUUGUGAAGCUCAAUUUGGGCCUUGUUGGGCUUAUGCCCAAGGUUUGUCUACGAAACAAAGCCCAAUCAAGACAACAUACACGCUUUUACCUUUUUUUAAAACAUUUAUUUUUUUUUGGUUUGUCAAAGUGAAGAAUUCAAUUGAAUUCACUUGGAAUUGAAAUUUUUUGUUCGGAUUAAAUUAUAGUUAAGUGAAUUAUAUUCUCUUUUGAUGUUUGGUAAAAAAAUAAUAAAUUAUUUUUCCUAUUUGAUUCUCAAUUAUACAGUAAGAAAAAUAUUAUAACUAAUUUAAGAAGGGAUAUUUUGGGAUUACUUAUAACUAGCAAAUAAAUUCUCACCAAAUCAGACCUAAAAUCAUAGAAUUUGGAUGAAAGUCAUUUGUAUUAUGAGAAAUUCCACCAAAACCUUCUAAAAGAAUUAGAUUCUAUUAACUUAUGAUACCAAAUGACGAAUUUAGGGAAAUUAGAAUUCGCAUUCUUAAGAAUUUUAGAAAUUGGGGUAGCCAAAUGGGAUGUUAAUUAAUUUCUCAUAGUUUAAUUUGCUUACAAACUCUAUAUUUAUUAGCUUUCCUGGGCAACAAAAGACAAAAACACAAUGGUAAAAGAAAAAAAAGAAAACAAAGUACUGUGGCAACUUCUUUUUGUGCUUCUUUAUUGGGUUUAUAAACUAAGGCUUAAGAAGAAUUGAAUGAAUGACACACCCUACCAACCCAGAUAAGAAUGAUUAUGCAAAUCAACCAAGAUAACAUUAGGUACUGAGUGAUUUUUGCAGGUGAUGCAUAGGAACAGAGAGAUUUAUUUAUUCACUAGAUAUCGAUGGGACAGAUCGAAACUGCACAACAAAUCGAACCAAAUGUGCAUAAUUCAAAGCAGCUUCGCCCUUUCACACUCAUCAUGAAUGUGUCAAACUACAUGAUAUGGUUGAAACAUUCAUUACAAGGUGAUGUUUGCAGAAACUGUAUAAAUAUGCGCCUGAUUUUACCAAGUGGAGUGCAUUUUGUUGUACAGCAACCAACACAUUCCCAUAAUCACAAAGUUCCCGUCAGAAACAACAUGACAAUAGAAUAAUUUUCCACUGAAAACUAACUUUAUCCCUGCAACUUGUUUUCGAAAGCAAAGGAAUAUAAGUACAUGAAUUCCCCCAUAUGCGAAAUUAACACCAUGAAAAAGUUCCGUCAGUAAGCAAAGUGUCCCUGAUAAUAUCAAAGGGGACCACCACUACCAUAUUCACCUUCACAUAUGCUCCUCUUUUCUUACAACUUAUUCUGCAGAGGAAAAGUUCUCUCAAAAAAAAGAAAAAAGUAAAAAAGCAAUUGUUGCAAUGCUAUGAUUUGAAUUCAUCUAAUUCUCAGAUAUCAGGAAUAGACUACCUCAGGAUAGUUGAGCAUUUCCUACAUUUUUCGCACAUUCAUAUAUUCCAAGGAAACUUCUUUUGCCUAAUAAUUUCCAUUCAUGUAUUCAAUAUCUUUUUCUCCACAAUUCCUUCCUUCAGUUCAUAUAUCACUCAAGAUGCUUAAUUCCACUUAAGUCAGUUCAGCAAUAAGUUAUUCCCAAACCGAAAGAAAUUUGAUUGUACGGAUAAGAAAAUUUAUCGAAAAUUAACUGAAUGAGAUUCGAAAGCAUGUAAUCAGAAGAAUAACAUCAAUUCCCAGUGGAUACGACAAUGGCAAGACAAGUUAAAAGACUGUUUGAUGUAUAACUUGCAAGCACCCAAGCCGUUAAAAGUGUUAAACCAUAACAAAGUUCUCUAGCACAAGUUGAAAAAAAUAUAAUAAUGGAAUACCAGAAAAAGCUAAAGGCAAUAAAGCAUCAUGUUUUCCUUGAGAAUCUACUAAUCUUUUGGCUCCGUAACAAGUUAAUGUAAAGUAAUAAAAUUCAUGUCCGUUUGCGCUUUAUGAAAAUCAAGAGAAUAUUAGUUCAUAUGCUCUGCAAUACUGACAAAGUAAUAGAUAUACUGUUAGAGGCGGAUAAUGUGAACAGAGAAGGGAAUAAUCAUCUUGAAAGAAGAGCAAAUGAACGGAUAUUUUGAUAGAGAUAAGUGCGGCAUGCACAAUCUAGGAGUUAAAAUUGUCAAACUGAGUAUAUAGUAAAACAUUAUGCUUCAAUCAGGAACAGAAUCACUUAAUUAUACAGUAAAAUAGCAAAAUGAUGGGAAAGAAUGUUACACCAAACAAUAUUUGAGAGUUGCCGAAUCAACAUUUACAGAAAAAUCAUGUAGAAGUUCUUAAUUUUUUUUUUUCACACUUCAUAGCAUAUCUAAUUUACAACAAAUUAGGUCUCUGGAAAAUGAUAGAAACAGCGGGGGCACAAAAUAUAGAUACUAAUUACCAGAAGCGCAAAAAUGAAAACAAGAACUUUUAUCUGUUUAGAGGAACAACAAUGUUUGUAGCCGCAAAUUAGGAGAAAACAAUUCAAGCAAUAAAUAGAGCAUGCGAAGGACACAAUAACCAUUUUCUUUCAAGUCUGAAAUCUUCCACUCAAGUAGAUAACAAUAACUAAUCGACAUCACCAAACUUGAUACAUCAGAUCUAUUUUUACUUGCAGAUUUAUGUGAACAUCAGAGAUUCUAAUCAAAUAAAGCAUAGAAAUUAGCUUUCAUCGAAAUACAUAGUCGCUACUCAGUAUUGUUGUUGCCACUAUCAUCAGAAUCAUGUUGAAUUUUUGACUGAACCAAAAUUUCUAACAAUUUUGUUAAUGUAACAAGAUGUAAUAAGCAAGUCCUGCAACAGUGGCUUCAGGGGGGUCUAAUCCUCAAUGACCAAAAACUGUGACAUCCUUGCUAUACCUUAAUCGAAUACCCCCACCAUAUGGCAACUCACAUGUAUUGUCUGUUGCCUGUAUAGCAAACUCUGUUGCCAUGGGAUCUCUAGUCUUGUCACAAAGGCUCAAUACUACACAGAAUAAUGUACAGAAAUACUCAACAGAACAAACAAUAACACAAUGACAUACACAAACAUUUUCACAAGUACGGAGAGAGACAUAUAUAUAUAUAUAUAUAUAUAUAUAGAGAGAGAGAGAGAGAGAGAGAGAGAGAGAGAGAUCAGGAAAGAAAUUUUCUGUUAUUAUUCAGCACCUGCAAGUCUCGAAAAGACAUCGAUAAUCCACAAAAAGGAAAGAAAUCAAGAAAUCGAAAAAAAGUGACAACUAAUAAGUAGAUGUACAAGGGAAAAUAAAACUGACACAUUCUGUUCAUAAGUGAUCACCGUCGGCUUGCUAUCCCAGCCCAGUUUGUUAUUAUGGAAGCCAUAGCAACAAAAUCUUAAUAAUAUCCAUUCCACAUGAAUGCUGCACUAUUAUGAAAAAAAAACAUUGCAUCCAAAUCUUCUUCAUGUCCAUGAGACCACGGAGCUACUCACAAGAAAACACAAAAUGCAGUUCAAAACAAUACAACUAUUUGGAAAGCUUACUCUUCCUGCAUUCAGGCUGAUGAUCUGAAAAUCUCAGAACAGUUGUCACUAACGAGGCUACCACAUUUUUUGUAAAAAAGAUAAGUUGUUUUAAUGCAAAGACAUUGCUUUCCGCGUAGUAAAACCAUGCCUAAAUAACUCGGAACAUCUGAAUGAAGAUUCAACUAUCAUCAUACUAUGUUGUGACUUACAAGUAUCUACAGUACCAUAAAGCUACCGUCUUAUGCAAUAGUCAAUCAUAUAAAUGCAAUUGAGGACAUAAAAGGGGGGAUUUUCUUUUUUUGUUUUGACAGGAACUGAGUGCAAAUCAACCGAAGAAGAAUCCAAACGUCAUGAUUAACUAGAAUGUAAUGGUCCUGUAAUCCAAGUCUUAUUUUAUCAAGUAUUCAAAAAUCAUCAAUAAAUAAAUGGCUAAAUCUUGCAUUUAUGUCUUAAACCUUAGUUAAGUUCCUUUGGCAUCAUACCCGGAUUGUUAUGUGGAUGUGAUGCAUUAACACAUGGGAGGUUAAUAUCUCAAAACUGGAUUUCACAGCGCUAAUAUUAAAGUUUCAAUUAUUAUAUAGCUAGGAAAAACUAAGACAGUAGUCUUCUGGCAGUAAAAUUUAUGUUCUGACUUUUGCAAUGUGGUAACAAGUUUCAGUAGUUUAUAUGUUUACCUUUCCUUUUUCAUAAUAAUACACCUCAUACUUAAAUCCUUUUUCCAGGAUACAUAUCUUACACCUUAAGUUUAAUGCAUCUCAAUAAGCGUGAGCCUCUGAACUCCUCACGUUGUGCAUCCACCUCUGCAAAAGAAACACAUUGUUGGACCUUGUAACGUAAAUAACGUCUAGCUAGUAUGUGGCGUCUACUAUGUGAAUUAUGCGGAACUUCCGCUCAACACAUGGGUUUCAAUAGUCACCUCACUUUACGUAUCUAAGACGCUUGCCAUCCGCAGCGCAUCCACCCACUUGUCAAGUGAUAAAAUUAAUGUGUUGCCAGAUAUAUCCAGCAGAAUAAGUGAUAUUUUCUAGUUAGGCAUCUUUAAUAACAAAAGUUUGUUAGAGGAAUCAUUGAAUGCAGUGAUUGAACGAUAUACAAAUUAUAUCCUUAUAUAACAAAACCCCAGACAUACAAGACCAUAGUACAGUUCGAGCUAGAGUGCCGACGUGAUGUAACAGUAGUAUUUUUAAACACUAAUGCUAUAUCAAGAACAAUGCCACAAGUUGAUUGGAGAAUUUGCAGUUAUGCAAGUUCUGUACUGUAAAUAGCAUCAGAGUUUAAAGAGAUUUGCUUAGGAAGCAGGAGUUACCAAACUUAACAUAAAAAGUAAGAAGAGGCAAGGGCUGCAUAAUUUCCUGGGAAUAGUUCAAGAAACCAAAUUAUAUAAUACAAAACGACAAACUACCACAAAUGGAGAUGCAUGGCGAACAUCUUUCAGCUAAGAAGUAAGAACGAAUGAAAACAAAGCCAUUAAGGAAAAUAGACAGAACACACAUUGUACAUGUGAGAAGCAAUAUAGUUGCUACUUGUUUGUUUCCCAUAAGAGACAAAAAGCAAUGAAUCAUAUAAGAAUACCCAGUGCAACUAAACACUUUAUAAUGGAUUCAAGACAUACUAAAAUUGUAAUUGCAUCAAAUUAUUAACAUAACAGUAAGAGGCCUUUGGAAAUGUAAAUAAAUGAAGAGAUUACUAAAAAAAUAAAAAAGAAGUACAAAAACUCAGAAGAGUUACAUCAGACUGUUCUACCAAAUCUUCAGUUGAAUCUGAAUUCCAAAAAAUAGGCAGAAAUUACCAAUUAGGCAUAAUCAGUAUUUAAGCCCUCCAAGGAAAAAUCCAGUAUUGUGCAUCCUUCCAACAACGGAAAAAUCAGCAGCCCAUCACGGCACAAUUGUGAACAAAGUUCCCCAAAUAGCGGCUGGCAAUCAUGUCCCACUCUGGAGGGGCCCCAUUUGGGACCCAUGAAUUGAGCUCGAUCAGGCGCCCCCCUGCCGUUCUCUGCCCUCCAAUCACGAUCAGCUGGUCACCACAGGCGCGAAACGCCAAACCCCACCCAUUGGUAGAAACCGACCUUUCAGGCAAACCCCCUAGCGUAAUCCAUGUGUUGUUCUCUUUAUCAUACUUCCUUACCUUAUUCUCGGCGUAAUCCACGGCGUAGAGCUCGUUAUUCACAACGGCAACAAGUGGUGGCGAGCCAGCUACCACGUUGAGGCCGGCAGACAUAUUCUCAAUCACCCGCCAAGAACCUCUUUCCAAAUCAUACUCCUCGCCGCAGGUCAGAACCUGCGUAUUGGAAGCCAUUCCACCAAUAACAUAAAACUUGUCAUCCAUGAACACGCCCGAACACAUUUUUCUAGCUCGAAUCAUGCUAGGCAGUGUAGUCCAAGUUUUCGUCUCGGAGUUAUAGAGCUCGGCGGAACUUAAUAUAGUACCAUUAGUGUUAGUCCCACCAGCUAUAAUAGCUUUCUCUCCAAAGCUCGCCGAACCAAAUAAGCACCUCGGCGAGUUCAUCACAGCUCCCAUAGACCAGGUGUUUGUAAGAAUACUAUACCGAAGAACUACAUGGGAAAACAUGUCCAUCCCAAAAACAAGAAGCUCUGUGCCAACGGCAAGGGAUUCUUUAUCGAAGGAGUUGAACGAUUCGCUACGUCCUAUUAUUCUCGGAAUAGUAUUAAUCCACCGCCUGCGAUAAGGAUCGUAAGCCACCCAUUCAAGGCCAUCGCAAGAGAAAUAUACCCAAUGUUCGGUGAUACCCAUUUGCCGCCUUAUUCUAUAGAGCUCGCCAUCCCGAACUAAGGUUCGGAAGUUAUGGUUGAGGGAAGCGACCGCGCCGUAAUACGAGCGCGAGAGGCGGAGGAGGCAGUUAAGGGUGAGAUCACGGCCGAUUGGAUUGAUGAGGCAGUUUGGGUCAUAGGAGGUAUCACUGCCGCUCUCGUCGAUAUCAGGGGUGUGAGGGCGUUGAGGGGACCUCUUUCUUCUCCCCCGUCUAGAAUGCUCAUCAUCUUCUUCUUCUUCGUCCCCUGGCCGGUUGAGCGGGCGUUUGCCUUUCGAGGAAUCGAAGAGUUGGGAAACCAUACAAGCCCACUCGGAUUUGUAGUCGCAGGAGCUAAGGAAGAAUCUCGAGAUCGGGGACGAAUUGCCCUCAAACAUUAGUUGAAUCCCCUCAAUUUGAAAACAAAAUAUCAAAAAUUGGCAACAAAACACCACUUGAUACCACUCAGAUCUCUCGGAGAACCAAAAGGGAAAGGCGGAUUCAGCUCGGAUUCAGCUCGGAAGGAAAAAGUAAAGCCGACCCAGAUCCAAAAAUUCGAUUUUUUAAAAAAAACUUUACUAUGUUUAUAGCUCCUUCAAUAGAAGGAGAUCUAAGAAGCCUGUUAAAGAUCGUAAUUUUUAGAUCAGAAAAACAAAAAAACAAAAUGAAGAGAGAGCGAAUGAAGAAAAAAAAAAAAAAACCGCCUCUAAAAACCUAUGAAUCAACGAUUCAACAGGCGAUCAAAUGGGGCCUUUCGAUCGAAUCAAAUCGAUCUCACGAAGGCUUCAGAAAAUCGCCAUGAAAUCGAAGAUUAAGCACCGAUAGAUCCUGCGAUUUGCUUCGACAAAUGCACGAUUCAGCGAGCAGCCUCGGUUGCAAUCAGUUCCGGUAAACCAUACAAACAAAAUCCCUGUGCAAAGACCCCCCGCGCCCCCCCCCAAAAAAAAAAGGAGAAAUCGAUCUCGUUCUAGGUCAAAGAGGAAGGGGCAAAAGACGAGAAUCACACAGCGUGAAGAAGCGAUUUGAGAACUCACCUAUGGGGGCGCCUCUCUCUCUCUCUCUCUCUCUCUCUCUCUCUCUCUACACUACAACAUCAUCAUCUUCUUCUUCUUNCCCCCCCCCCUCUCUCUCUCUCUCUCUCUCUCUCUCUCUCUCUCUUCGCUCGAAAUCUAAAGCUUCGGGUCGAGCUUUUGGAGAAGGGUGGGGGGCCAUUUCGCCCUUUAUCCUACUCCCCCUCUCACACCCCCUAUUUUCCUUUUUCUUUUUCUUUUUUUUCUUUUUCGCCAAUUUUUUCCCCCUCUAUAUUUUUAAUUAAAAUUUUUGUCUAAAUAUUAUAUAUAUUUUUCUCAUUUUUGUGUCAUUUCAUUUUUUUCUAUUUUAAGCUUUUAUUAUAAAAUGUAUUUAGUAAAUAAAAUUCCGAAUAGUAUAUUGGGCCCCACAAGCCCUCUGCCGUUCAAAACUGCCCAUCUGCCAUUUUCUUCCUUAUUUAAUUCAUUUCAUUUUAUAAUAAUAUUUAUUUCAUUAGGAUGGAAAAGAAAAAAAAAAAAAAAAAAAACUAUAUAGGAUUGGAGGAAGUCUCCGUCACGGCUCUAUCACUGGGCAAACUUUCCCCGCUCCUGGUGCAUGCAUACACACACCAUGCACCGGAAUUGAUGCCACAAAUAUAAUUCACCACACAUAAAAAUAUUUUAAUUUGAAGGAAACUAAUAUACUAUUAAUAGUUUAAGUGACAUAAUAUUGAUUUAAGAUUUUAAAAAUAGAUAAUAAAAAAUUAUUUUUUUA
Molecule: long non-coding RNA, 74994 nt
Filed under: Ananas comosus (pineapple)
Lineage: Eukaryota; Viridiplantae; Streptophyta; Magnoliopsida; Poales; Bromeliaceae
Description: long non-coding RNA (ACOM_LNC022748)
Rfam family: Small nucleolar RNA Z162 (bases 55596-55687)
Source: RNAcentral